This 51580-nucleotide long non-coding RNA is filed under the name Triticum aestivum (bread wheat). RNAcentral's name for it is "long non-coding RNA (TAES_LNC007731)". Lineage: Eukaryota; Viridiplantae; Streptophyta; Magnoliopsida; Poales; Poaceae. The record is from RNAcentral.
UGAAAGUGCAACUAAUCCCCGGGUGGUUUUGGUAAUUAAUAACAACAUAUAUAUCAUUGAACUAAUAGUUACUUGAGAAUCAUUUCAGAAAGUUCAGUGAUAUGGGUAUGGCAAGGACUGAAGAAGUGGACCCCUCAAAAUGCUAAGGCAAGCAUUGGCAAAAGCUCAAGACUCCAUUUUUGGUUUAGUGAUCCAAGAUCACAUUGAGUCCAUAGGAAAGCCAAUACUAUUAAAAGGGGAUGAGGUUAUGAUGAUGAUCUGGUUGCUCAAAGUGCUUAGUGAUACAUCUCCUAAACUAUCAGCAACUUUCACUGCCAUAUACACUCAUAAGUAAUCUCGGUCCCACCGAUAUUCCAAACUCAGUCACACCGAGAUGAACCACCUCAGCCACAAAGCCAAACCCUAGAAAACUCGGAUUUUCCGAUUCCAAAUUCGGUCUCACCGAAACUUGAGUUGCCAAGCUUCUGUAACCUUCUGUCAUCAAAUCGGUGUCACCGAGAUGAUGAAGUCGGUCCCACCGAGAUUGGCAAGCUCUUGUCUUUGCACGAAUCGGACAAACCGAGAUUGUAUUUUCGGUCCCACCGAAAAUCCCAACGUUCACAUUAUUUGAACUUUCGGUCUCACCGAGUUGUCAACUUCGGUCUCACCGAGAUUGGUCAAAUGUGUGUAAUGGUUGGAUUUUGUGUGGAGGCUAUAAAUACCCCUCCACCCCCUCUUCAUUCGUGGAGAGAGCCAUCAGAAAGAACUACCACUCCUACCUUACAUUUCUGAGAAGAGAACUACCUACCCUUGUGUUGAGAUCAAGUUGCUCCACUCCCAUCAUAUGAAGCUUGAUCUCUAGUCUUCCCAAGUUGCUUUCCACUCAAUCCUUUCUUCCACCACAGCCAAAUCAGUGAGGAGAGUUGAGUGUUGGGGAGAUUAUCAUUUGAAGCACAAGAGCAAGGAGUUCAUCAUCAUCAACACCAUCUAUUACCUUUUGGAGGGUGGUGCCUCCUAGAUUGGUUAGGUGUCGCUUGGGAGCCUCCGUCGAGAUGUGGAGUUGAACCAAGAAGUUUGUAAGGGCAAGGAGAUCGCCUACUUCGUGAAGAUCUACCCCGAGUAAGGCUAGUCCUCCGUGGGCGUAGGCCAUGAUGGCAUAGACAAGGUUGCUUCUUCGUGGACCCUUCGUGGGUGGAGCCCUCCAUGGACUCUCGCAGCCGUUACCCUCCGUGGGUUGAAGUCUCCAUCAACGUGGAAGUACGAUAGCACCACCUAUCGGAACCACGAGAAAAAUCUCCGCGUCUCCAAAUUGCGUUUGCUCUUCUCCACCUCUCUUUACUACAUGUGCAAUUUACUUUCCGCUGCCUAUACUCUAGAAUUGCAUGUGUAGGGUGAUGCUUGACUUGAUCAAAAUUGUGAAUCUGCCAAAAACUGUUCUUUGUCAAAAGGCAUAAUCUUUUAUAUUGUCAAGUAGUCUAAUCACCCCCCCCUCUAGACAUACUUCCGAUCCUACAAGUGGUAUCAGAGCUUUGGUCUCCAUUGUAUUGGUUUCCAUUGCAUUGGACUCCAUAAGCUUGGUUUCACAACCUAGGAGAGUAUGGCGUCUAGUGAGGGUAAUUUUCGUAGAGGUCCUUACUUUGAUGGUACAAAUUUUGCUAGUUGGAAGCAUAAAAUGAAAAUGCAUAUUCUUGGCCAUAACCCAGCCGCAUGGGGCAUUAUUUGUGUUGGUAUGCAAGGUGAAUUCUUCGAGGAAGGAAAAGUUCCAGAUCGCGAAGCUACAACGGAAGAAUUGCGGAUGUUGCAAAACAAUGCUCAAGCUUGUGACAUUCUCUUCAAUGCCUUGUGUCCCGAGGAGUUCAACAAAAUCAGCCGUCUUGAGAAUGCAAAAGAGAUUUGGGAUACUUUGGUUGAGAUGCACGAAGGUACCGAGUCCGUGAAGGAAUCAAAGCUAGAUGUUCUUCAAGGUCAACUUGACAAGUUCAAGACGAAGGAAGGUGAAGGAGUCGCUGAAAUGUACUCUAGGCUUGCUCUCAUCACAAAUGAGAUUGCCGGCUUAGGAAGCGAAGAAAUGACCGACCGAUUUAUCAUCAAGAAGAUUCUCAGAGCUUUGGAUGGAAAGUAUGACACCGUGUGCACCUUGAUCCAAAUGAUGCCAAACUACAAGAAUCUCAAGCCAACCAAAGUCAUUGGAAGAAUUGUUGCCCAUGAGAUGACACUUAAGGAUAAGGAAGAGCUUCACAACAAGUCAAGUGGUGCUUACAAAGCUACAAGUGAUGCUCCCACAACCUCAAGUGACAAGCUAGUUUCCAAUGAAGAGAUAAGCCUAAUGGUCAAGAACUUCAACAAAUUCUACAAGAGUAGAAGCAAAGAGAGAAGCUCAAAGUCUAGAUCAUAUGAUGAAAAGAGAUCUUCUAGUCGUGAUCGAAACUGCUACAAUUGUGGAAGACCCGGACACUACUCAAAUGAGUGUUCGGCUCCCCACAAGAGAAGAGAAGAAUCUCCAAGAAGAAGAAGCUCAAGAGAUGAGUCACCUCGGAAAGAGAGAAGGAGUAGAGAUGAUCGUUAUGAACGAAGACCCUCUCGGAGAAGCAAGGAUUCGGAGAGGAAAGACAAGUCAUCAAGGAGCUACACAAGAAGAAAACAUCAAGCUCAUGUAGGUGAAUGGGUCUCCGGCUCCGACUCCGACAAUCAAUCCGAAGGAAGCUAUCACUCCAACUCCGACUACAGUCAAGAUGAAGGUGUUGCCGGUCUUGCUCUCGUAUCCUCCAACUCCAACUCCUAUGACUUAUUUGAUUCACCAAAUGAGGGAAUUGGAAGAUGCUUCAUGACUAAAGGCCCCAAGGUAUCACACCCUGAAUUCAUUGACUUUGAUAGUGAUGAGGAUGACUUGCUUGGUGAAGAUGAGCUCUUACAUGAUAAAUCCAAUGAACCUAGUAACGAUGAACAUGCUAGUAGUCUUUAUAGUCGAGAAGAGUCGAAUGACAAUGCUAUGAAGGAGAUUGAGCGUCUAACUAAAGAACUAAACACUCUUAAGUUAGCUCAUGAAACAACUCAAGAAGAUCAUAGAGAGCUCCUAAGAUCUCAUGAGAAGCUACGCUUCGAGAAGCUCACUCUAGAGCAAGAACAUGAGUUUCUAAAAGCAAUCAAUGACGAUCUUCGAAAGAAGAGUUCUUCAUAUCUUGCCAAACGACUUCUCUUGUCUAAUUUCUUGCCACCUAUUAAAACUAAGCAUGACAAGCAUAAGAAAAGUUCUUUCUCUAGUAGUAACAAUAACCAUGCUAAAUCCAAUAUUGUUGCUUCUAGUAGUUCUCUUGAUUCCACUAACAAUGUUUCAAGCCAAGUUACACUUGAGCAAGAAAAUAGUUUAUUGAAAGGGAUUAUAGAGAAAGGUGUCUACAAGAGCCUUGCCGGAAGCAAGAACUUUGAGGAAAUUGUUCGCAAGCAAGGAAGGCACCGGAAGAAUCAAGGAAUUGGUUUUGAGCGAAAGUUCAACGCCGAAGGUGUUGAAUGGGAAGAAGGUCAAUAUCCUACUCCACAGUUUAUUCCUCAAAAGGAGAAGUAUGAUCCUACUUCUUCCAAUGUGGAACAAGCUCAAGAUGACCUUCCACCACAAGACCACAAGCUAAAAGGCAAGGACAAGCUUCAAGAGGAGAUUGAUGCAUUUGUUGAAGCACCUCAAGCCAUGGUCAAGUGGGUUCCCAAGGAAACGUCAAGUUCUACUUCGUCAAGCUCAACUACAACCCCAAGGAUUCCCAUCAAGAUGAUGUGGAUCCCGACGAAGAAGAACUAGAAAGUUCUUGAGGGUGACUCCGCCAACAUACUUCACUCACAUUCAUUUUGGCAAAAACUUGUGCAAUCAACUUCCACAUCUUGCACUAGUUCAUGGAGUCACAAACCCUCUUGUUGGUAAGUCAAGGGACAAGGUAAUCAUUGCUUUCAUGGACAUCAUCUAUUGUGUACUUCAAUCUAUGUCCAUGGAUAUCCUUGUUUGUUCCUUGUGGGACUAACCCAUGUAGGUAUUGAAAGUGCCCGAAUCCAAAGGAUAGCUCCAAACUCUUGAUGAUCUUCAUCAACAUUGAGCAUCCACAUCUUCAACAUCUACAUGAAGUCUUCUACGACAACCCAAGGUUAGUUUGACCCUUUAAAAGGGGUUCUCACAUCUAGGGGGAGCUUUGCUCUAAAAAUUGAGCUAAAGCAUCUUCAAAUGAUGUGAACACAUCAAUGCUUUAUGUAAAAGUGGUAACCCCACUUGUGCUUAAACGAUGAGUAUGACCUAUGAUCAAAUGUUCUCAUUUGGCUCCUAAGUCAAUAUACUCAUAUAAAGAUGACCUAGUCAUCGACAAAUUGUGUGAUAGUAGGUAGAGUUUUGAUUGUGCAUGUUUGACACAUAUUUCAUUUGCUAUCUUAUUGUGUGAGCAUGUUGGAUGCAUGAUUUUAUCCAUUCAAGGACAUCCAUUUGUUGUUUUGGUCGUUUUGAUUUUUCUGACCAAAUGGAUGGACAAGAAUGCCUAAGUACCUCCCCUAGCUAUCUAUGCUUUCUUGUCUCAAAUUCUAUUCAUGCUUACAUCACAAAUUUUGAACAAGUCAUUUUCGGACCCUCCGAGUGAGGAGCACUCGGAGCCACCGAUCCGUCAAGGGCUAACUUCCAAAACCUUCUAAGUGAUUUCGGUCAGACCAACUCACUCAAACUCGGUCGAACCGAAAGCAUUUGGACGGAUCUAGGUUUUCACCUCGGCGAAACCGAGUUGUGAUUUUCGGCGUGACCGAAGUGCAUAACUGCCCUGCAGUUAUCCAUCUCGGUGCCACUGAGUUUUACAACUCGGUCCCACCGACAGCAAAGGGGUAUAUAUACUCCGAGGGCCGCGCGUUGAUUUCUCCUUCAAACGCUUCGCCCCCACACCCCUUGCUGCCGUCGCCCUGGUCUCCGGAUCGUCUCCGUCGUCGCCUGUGCGCCCUCGCCGCAGGUCUCCGUCGCCGUCAACGGACAUCUUCUCCGCGCCGUUGCCGCCGUAGAGAAACUCCACCAAGUUAGGGUGAGUUUUGAUCCCACUCGUGCUCCCAUCUCCGAUUCAAUGCACGUUUGGUUUGCCUAGAAUCUUGCCACGAUUGAAAUCUUCCUGUACACCAGAUUAGUUCAUUUGGACUAGAUUCGAGUAAAAGUUUUAGGGUUAGGUUUCCGCUGAACACAUCUCGGUGAGACCGAUUUUACAUUUUCGGUAUGACCGAUUUGGCCUAUGGCCAUUGCACUGCACCCUUCGGUCCAACCGAGUUGUGCAAAUCGGUGUGACCGAAAUGAGGAUUCUGUGAAACCCUAGUGUUUUCGGAAGGACCGAAACCCACUUCGGUCCAACUGAAAGUGGUGUGAAAGCUUCUGUUUGAACACUUCGGAUUCACCGAAUUUUAGACUCGGUCUGACCGAAAUGUCUUCUGUGACAACCUAAUACUAGAAUUUGAACUCAUUUUUUUUGAAAAAAAAACUUCUGCAUUUGUGAUGACUCUUCUUCUCUGCCUAUACCUUAUCUAUUCACAGGUUGUCAGCCAUGUCAGAUGCCAGUGACAGUCAGAACAGGUCAGAGACACCCAUUGCAGAUAUUCCAGAGGCAGGCACUAGUCCUGAUCCUAGCAGCUCAUCAGAUGAUGGUGAGAGGAGUACACCAAGUGGUUUACCUCCUGCAGCCACCAGAGCCAGAAAGAAGAGGAACUCAGAUGAUGAAGACUCAGAUUUUGUUGUUGAAGAGGUCACCUCAAAGCCCAAGAGGAAGGUUGUUGCCAAAGAGCCACAAGGUCAACAAACCAAGAAGGGCACCAGAAAAGUCAAGCAGUCAACUGUUGCCAAGAAGCUGACUUUGGAAGAGGAAACUACAAGCAAAGUUAAGAAAACUUCCAAGAGAAAGAGGUUAGUGCAUGAUGAUGCAGCAGAAGAAGAUGAGGAUGAGGAAGCACCCCAGCCUCCUCCUCAGAAGUCUAAGUUCAUGGGUGAUGCCAUUAAGGCUGGAGCCACUUCAAAGCCCAAGCAAUCUGCUCCAGCUAAGGCAGCUCCAGCAAAGCCUGCUGCCAAGCCCAAGAAGACAGUCAGAAACAUUCCAGCGUCUGAAAAGAACAAAGAUGAUGUGCCACCAGCUGUGUCAGAUGAUGAAGCACCAGUUUUGCUGAAACUUCGUCAAAAACUGCCACUACAUAAUGAUGCUCAUCCUCAAGCUGAGGAUAUGAAGGCAAGGAAGGAUAGAGGUCUCAGGCUAUGGAGACAAGCUGACCCAUAUGCCGUGAGGAGAAGAACUGCUGUUGAUCCCAGAUUUCACACCAGAGAGCAGCAGGACUUCUAUGAGACCGUGCUGAUGGAUAAGAAGCCCAUAGUCACAGACACAAGAUAUGUUGACUAGAAGUACAUUGAUAGCGAAGAGCACAGAGACUACUUUCCACAUGUGCAUGAAAGCUUCACUGCAUGUGGUGUUGCAGACUUUGUGGGUCAGAAGUUGACUAGUUGGAAUGAUGAGAUGAUUAUGCAAUUCUAUGCCACAGCUCACUUCUACCCAGAUGGAAGGAUUGUAUGGAUGACUGAAGGCCAAAGAUUUUCUUCAACUAUUGAAGAAUGGGCAGAACUUCUGAAUGCUCUAGUGCAAAGAGAAUAUGAUAUUGAUGUAUAUGGGAUUCCAAAGAAGAAUCAUGAAUCCAUGAAGAACAUGUACAAAGAAGUUCCAGCUAAGGAUUUGGGAAUCUGGAAGCUCGGCUUAGUUUACUAUCUCCAGGCAGGUCUACCUACCACAAACACUAUUUUGAGGCAUACCUUGAUGCCCAAGUCUAGAGAUCAUCGCAUGAUCAGAGGAUACUCUAUCAACAUGCUGCAUAUACUUGAUGAGAAAGCACCUUUCAAGGUGAUGGACUUGAUGGUUGAGACCAUUAAGAGGACUGCAGCUGACCAGAAAAGGUCGUGUGGAUUCGCCCCGCAGAUUCAGAUGCUUAUCAAUGCCAAGUUUGGCACGGGCACAUUCUUGUUGGAUAGAGAACACUUACCACUGCAGCCUGAGCAUGAGGACAAUGUUGUUGUGAUGGAUGAGGAGGAUCCAACAUCGGUUGAAGGUCAAGCCAAGAUUGAAGCUGCCAAGAAAGCCAAAGCUGACAAGGAAGCAGCAGCAGCAGCAGCUAAACCAAAGAGUGUCGGAGAGCAGCUUCUUGAAGCUACCCAAAGGAUUGAACAACGCCUGGCCAGCAUCGUACAGUCUCAGGAGAGCCUAGAGAGGAUUGUUGAAGACAAGAUCCACGCUCUGGAUGUGAAGCUGACUGAAGUGCAAGUGACUGUCAACAAGCUUGAGGCAGACAUUGAGGAAGCAAAGAGGGAGAAGGAAGAGCUUAUGCGUGAGAUGCAGGAUGACUUAGUCCAGGAUGCUUAUCAACAGACUGCUCCGGUUCCCACAGGACCCCGAUCAGCUGCUAUUCCAGUGACUGACACCAGGACUACAGCUUCAGCACCUCCCACAGUUCCAUCAGUUGCUACAACUCCAGCUCAAGUGACCACUCCUCCAGCACAGACAUCAGCUGAAGUCUUCGCCGAUGCUGUCAUAUCAACUCCAACAUCAACCCAGACGGGAGCCGCCAGCAGAGUCCCCAGUGACGCUUAGCUCUAUGCGGUUUCGAACUUUUUGGUAACUUGUUGCCAAAGGGGGAGAAAUUGUAUAGAUCAUAGGACUUCGAGAGAGAGAGUGCUGUUGUCUUCGCGCUUUUGCUCUUUCGUUCUUUUGCGGUUUCUUUGAGAUACUUUUGGUUUUCGAGCCAUUCAGUGUGUUUGAUACUACGUUUCAUUCUACUUUAAUGAGUGCUUGGUCGUAUUAUGCUUUAAUGUGUGCUUAAUGCUUAUCAUAUGCUAUUCCUAUCUUGUAUGACCAUUUACUCAUGUCUUGGUGAUUGGGUGCAUGCUAUUCAUUCUUAUCAUUUUGUGCGCUCCACCAAGAUGUAUGUGACAUGGAAGAGUGACCCAUGAUCCUAAUCGAUUGUGCAUUUGCAUUCAAACGCAAAUCUUAAAUAAUGCACAAAUUUAGGGGGAGCUCUUGCUUAUCACAUACUUCUCAAAGCGACGAUAUUAUUCAUUGAUUAUAUCCUUUGUCGAAGCUUUGAUCUAUAUGUUGUCAUCAAUUACCAAAAAGGGGGAGAUUGAAAGUGCAACUAAUCCCCGGGUGGUUUUGGUAAUUAAUAACAACAUAUAUAUCAUUGAACUAAUAGUUACUUGAGAAUCAUUUCAGAAAGUUCAGUGAUAUGGGUAUGGCAAGGACUGAAGAAGUGGACCCCUCAAAAUGCUAAGGCAAGCAUUGGCAAAAGCUCAAGACUCCAUUUUUGGUUUAGUGAUCCAAGAUCACAUUGAGUCCAUAGGAAAGCCAAUACUAUUAAAAGGGGAUGAGGUUAUGAUGAUGAUCUGGUUGCUCAAAGUGCUUAGUGAUACAUCUCCUAAACUAUCAGCAACUUUCACUGCCAUAUACACUCAUAAGUAAUCUCGGUCCCACCAAUAUUCCAAACUCAGUCACACCGAGAUGAACCACCUCAGCCACAAAGCCAAACCCUAGAAAACUCAGAUUUUCCGAUUCCAAACUCGGUCUCACCGAAACUUGAGUUGCCAAGCUUCUGUAACCUUCUGUCAUCAAAUCGGUGUCACCGAGAUGAUGAAGUCGGUCCCACCGAGAUUGGCAAGCUCUUGUCUUUGCACGAAUCGGACAAACCGAGAUUGUAUUUUCGGUCCCACCGAAAAUCCCAACGUUCACAUUAUUUGAACUUUCGGUCUCACCGAGUUGUCAACUUCGGUCUCACCGAGAUUGGUCAAAUGUGUGUAACGGUUGGAUUUUGUGUGGAGGCUAUAAAUACCCCUCCACCCCCUCUUCAUUCGUGGAGAGAGCCAUCAGAAAGAACUACCACUCCUACCUUACAUUUCUGAGAAGAGAACUACCUACCCUUGUGUUGAGAUCAAGUUGCUCCACUCCCAUCAUACGAAUCUUGAUCUCUAGCCUUCCCAAGUUGCUCUCCACUCAAUCCUUUCUUCCACCACAGCCAAAUCAGUGAGGAGAGUUGAGUGUUGGGGAGAUUAUCAUUUGAAGCACAAGAGCAAGGAGUUCAUCAUCAUCAACACCAUCUAUUACCUUUUGGAGGGUGGUGCCUCCUAGAUUGGUUAGGUGUCGCUUGGGAGCCUCCGUCGAGAUGUGGAGUUGAACCAAGAAGUUUGUAAGGGCAAGGAGAUCGCCUACUUCGUUAAGAUCUACCCCGAGUAAGGCUAGUCCUCCGUGGGCGUAGGCCAUGAUGGCAUAGACAAGGUUGCUUCUUCGUGGACCCUUCGUGGGUGGAGCCCUCCGUGGACUCUCGCAGCCGUUACCCUCCGUGGGUUGAAGUCUCCAUCAACGUGGAAGUACGAUAGCACCACCUAUCGGAACCACGAGAAAAAUCUCCGCGUCUCCAAAUUGCGUUUGCUCUUCUCCACCUCUCUUUACUACAUGUGCAAUUUACUUUCCGCUGCCUAUACUCUAGAAUUGCAUGUGUAGGGUGAUGCUUGACUUGAUCAAAAUUGUGAAUCUGCCAAAAACUGUUCUUUGUCAAAAGGCAUAAUCUUUUAUAUUGUCAAGUAGUCUAAUCACCCCCCCUCUAGACAUACUUCCGAUCCUACAGACUACUACCUGUGUUAUCCUGCAAUUCUCACAAACACAUUAGUACCUCAACCACGUUUGUCAUCAAUACUCCAAAACCAAACUAGGGGUGGCACUAGAUGCACUUACAAUCCCUUCUCUCUUUUUCUCUCUUUUAUUAUUUUUUCUUCUUUUUUCUUUUUUUCUUUCUUUUUCUUUUCUUUCUUUGGCCUUUCUUUUUUCCCUUUUUGGCCUUUCUCUUUUUUCUUCUUCAUUUUUUUUCUUUUUGUAAAGUCCGAAGUCUUAUCCCGACUUGUGGGGGAAUCAUAGUCUUCAUCAUCCUUUCCUCACUGGGACAGUGCUCUAAUAAUGAAGAUCAUCACACUUUUAUUGAUUUACAACUCAAGAAUUACAACUCAAAGAUAGAACAAGAUAUGACUCUAUAUGAAUGCCUCCGGCGGUGUACCGGGAUAUACAAUGAAUCAAGAGUGACAUGUAUGAAAAUUAUGAAGGUGGCAUUGCCACAAAUACGAUGUCAACUACAUGAUCAUGCAAAGAGCAAUAUGACAAUGAUGAAGCGUGUCAUAAUAAAUGGAACGGUGGAAAGUUGCAUGGCAAUAUAUCUCGGAAUGGCUAUGGAAAUGCCAUAAUAGGUAGGUAUGGUGGCUGUUUUGAGGAAGGUAAAUAAUGGUUGCAUGAUACCGGCGAAAGUUGCGCGACACAAUAGAGGCUAGCAAAGUGGAAGGGUGAGUGUGCGUAUAUCCAUGGACGCACAUUAGUCUUAAAGAACUUAUAUACUUAUUGCAAAAGUCUACUUAGCCCUCAAAGCAAAGUACUACUACGCAUGCCCCUAGAGGGAUAGAUUGGUAGGAAAAUACCAUCGCUCGUCCCCGACUGCCACUCAGAAGGAAGACAAUCAAAAGAGCACCUCAUGCAACAAAUUUGUCACACAACUUUUACCAUACGUGCAUGCUACGGGACUUGCCAACUUCAACACAAGUAUUUUUCAAUUUCAUAAUUACCCACUAGCAUGACUCUAACAUUACUACCUCUAUAUCUCAAAACAAUUAUCAAGCAUCAAAUUGAUCCUAGUGUUUUAUGCACUUUCUAUGAUAGUUUUUAUUAUACCCAACUUGGAUGCUCAUCAUUCUAGGACUAAAUUUAUAACCAUAGCAAAUACCAUGCUGUUCUAAGAGACUCUCAAAAUAAUAUAAGUGAAGCAUGAGAGAUCAACAAUUUCUUCAAAAUUAGGCCACCGUCGUGCUCUAAAAGAUAUAAGUGAAGCACUAGAGCAAAAACUAUCUAGCUCAAAAGAUAUAAGUGAAGCACAUAGAGUAUUCUAACAAAUUCUAAUAAAGUGGUCUUCUCCCAAAAGGUGUGUACAGCAAGGAUGAUUGAGGUAAACUAAAAAUCAAAGACUAAUAUCAUACAAGACGCUCCAAGCAAAACACAUAUCAUGUGGCGAAUAAAAAUAUAGCUCCAAGUAAAGUUACCAAUGAACGAAGAUGAAACAGGGGAUGCCUUCCGGGGGCAUCCCCAAGCAUAGGCUUUUGGAUAAUCUUGAAUAUCUUGGGGUGCCAUGGGCAUCCCCAAGCUUAGGCUUUUGCCACUCCUUAUUCCAUAGUCCAUCAAAUCUUUACCCAAAACUUGAAAACUUCACAACACAAAACUCAACAGGAAAUCUCAUAAGCUCCGUUAGUGAAAGAAAACAAAACCACCACAUAAGGUACUGUAAUGAACUCAUUCUUUGUUUAUAUUGGUGUUAAAUCUACUGUAUUCCAAGUUCUCUAUAGUUCAUACCACUUAAUACUAGCCAUAGAUGCAUCAAAAUAAGCGAACAACACACGAAAGGCAGAAUCUGUCAAAAAUAGAACAGUCUGUAGCAAUCUAUAACUAACGCAAACUUCCGGAACUCUAAAAAUACUACCAAAAUAGGAAGUCCUGCUCAAUUUGUCUAUUGAUAGCAGAAAAAAGAAUCAACGCAAAAUCACGUUUCUGUGAUUUAACAAAACUAAUUUUGUGCGUGCAAAGUUUCUGUUUUUCAGCAGAAUCAAAUUAAUUAUCACCAUAGGUUAUCCUAUAGGUUCUACUUGGCACAAACACUAAUUAAAACAUAAAAACACAUCUAAACAGAAAGUAGAUGCAAAAUUUAUUACUAAACAGAAACAAAAACAAAAAACACAAAUAAAAUUGGGUUGCCUCCCAACUAGCGCUAUCGUUUAACGCCCCUAGCUAGGCAUAAAAGCGAAGAUAGAUCUAAGUAGUGCCAUCUUUGGCACUCAAUUCAUAAGUAGCCCGCAUGAUAGAUUCAUAAGGUAAUUUAACUUUCUUUCUUGGAAAGUGCUCCAUGCCUUUCUGUAAGUGCAUCUAGUGCCACCCCUAGUUGGUUUUGGAGUAUUGAUGGCAAAGUUGGUUGAGGGACUAAUGCGUUUGUGAGAAUUGCAGGAUAACGCAGGUAGUGUCCCUCAUUGAUUCGGUUUACCUACCGGAGAUGACCCCUAAAAAUGUAUGAAGACAUUGAAGACAAUGGUGGUAUGAGAAGAUAUUCAUAUUGAAGACUAUGACAUGAGAAGACAUUGCGUGAAGACUAUGGAGCACGAAGACUGUGUGGUUUCGUUGUUUCCUCUUCUUUGUUGAGUCAUAGGAACCACCGUACUGUUAAGUGGGGUCCAAGUGAACUAAUUCAGAAUGACUGAAGUGAUGCUCAACCCAAAUCCUAUGUCUUCGAGCGAAGACAAUGAGAGCAAAUCUUAUCCAAAGCUGGAUGAGUCAGCUUUGCUUGUAGCCCAAGUAAAGUUGCCGUGUGUGUUUGAAAUCUGACCGUUGGAACACGUGUCAGUUCCUUAGUGACCCAGGGUCAUUUAGGACAUAUCAGGUCGGGUUGCCUAGUGGCUAUAAAUAUCCCACCCCCUUCACCAUAAAUUGGUGGCUGCUCAGAGUUAGUGUACGGCUUUUGUCGUUUGAGAGCAGCCCACCUCGAAUCCUUUGAGAGAGAGAAAUCCUUGCGAGGACAAAGCCCAAACACCCAGAGCCAAAGAGUGUUAGGCAUCACUAAAGUCUUUCUGUCUGUGUGACCUGAAGACUUAUUACACUUGAGGACUCUUAUUCCUCCAUCCGGUUAGGCGUCGCAUUCUGAGCAUCCAAGAGUCAUUGUGGAUCGCCGGUGAACGAAGUCUGUGAAGGUUUGGAAGUCUACCUUGAAGACUUACCAGAGUGAUUGGGCGAGGACUGUGUGUCCUUAGCUCAAGGGGAAUAAGGUGAAGACACGGUCUUCUGAGUUGAAUCUCAGCCUCCCUAACCAGAUGUACAAUUGUCACAGCAACUGGAACUGGUCCAACAAAUCCUGUGUCUUCAACAAGUGACUGGUUCUAUCCUCUCCCUUCCUUUACUUAAGUUUGUCUUCGUGAAGUCAUUGCCUAUCUGUCAUACCUGUUUGACUUCAUUGCCUGACUACUACUAUUGAUUGGCUUCAUACUAUCUUCCAUCUUAUCCUUACUACUUAGCUGCUAUUAGUCCUGUAGUUUCACAUCAUUGCAUACUUGGCUAUGGUUUUCUUAUUGUAGUUUAUCUUCCGCUGCAUAUUAAUUAGGUCAUUUCUACUGUUUGUCUUCGAAACUAUCAUGUUUUGAAGACUUUCAUAAAAAUCGCCUAUUCACCCCCCUCUAGUCGAUACUAGCACUUUCAAUUGGUAUCAGAGCAAGGUACUCCCUUGUUCUGUGUGAUUCGGUUUAACCACCUGGAAUUUUAGCUAUGUCGACUGCAGGGAUAAUCAAGGUCUCCGCUGCUUGCCCCGUGUUCGAUGGAACUGAAUGUCCCUGGAAGAAUAAGAUGCGUAUGCAUCUUGAAGCCAUUGAUGUCGACCUCUGGUAUGUCGUCAAGAACGGCGUGCCCAAAACUGGUGAAGGUGUCACCCCUACUGAUGUCAAGAAGUUCAUUCAACUGGACUCUACUGCAAAGAACAUCAUCUGUGGUCAUCUGACCAAAGGACAGUAUGGCCGUGUGAGUGCUCUGGAAACGUCAAAGCUAGUAUGGGACUGGCUAUCCAAGGUCAACGAAGGCGUCUCAACCCAGAGAGAUCAAAGAAUCAGUGUUCUUUGCAACCUCUUCAACCGUUUCAAGAGAAACGAUAAUGAAAAUGUCUAGCUCACGUUCGAUCGCCUCACUGACAUCACAAAUGAACUUCAAGCUCUUGGCGCAACCGAAAUUACCAAGCAUGAAAUCGUCAAGACACUACUGAGAUCACUUGACAGCUCCUUUGACACCCUUGCCCUCAUGAUACAAGAACGUCCUGACUUCAAGACACUUGAUCCGUCUGAUAUACUUGAGAGGCUCAACACACAUGAGUUCCAGCUUUCUGAGAAAAGAGAUAUCUAUGGUCCAAACUAUGGCCGAACUCGUGCUUUGAAGGAAAAAGUUGUUUCCUCAUCUGAAGAAGAAUCUGACUGCAGUUCUGAUGAUCCUGAAGACAUUGGAAAGGAACUUGCUAUGCUUGUGAAGAAGUUCCAGAAGUUCACCAAGAAGAAAGGCUUCAGAAAGUCUUCACGAUCCAGCUCACGAAAUGAUGAAGCUUCCACUCAUGACCACUAGAAGAGAACAUGUCACAAGUGCAAGAAACCUGGACACUAUAUCUCUGAGUGUCCAUAGUGGGACUAUGAGAAGAAGAAGAAGAAGAAGAGCAAGGAAUAUGACUCUGAUGACAAGAAGAAGAAGAAAUCUUCAAAGUCUUCUUCCAAGUCCUCAUCAAGGUCUUCAUCUCAUAAGAAGAGCUCAUCAGGCAAGGCUCGUGCUUUUGUUGGCAAGGAAAUGGAUUCAGAAGAGGAGUCUGCUUCUAAGGAGGUGGAAGUGGAGUCUGGAGAGGAGUCUGACCCUGGCGUUGCAAGUCUGGCUCUAGCCACAGCCUAUGUUGCCAAGUCCAUCUUCAACACUGAAGACAAUGACUUCCUCACCAACAUUGAAGCUGAUGAUGAAGACGAUCCUACUCCCACCUACUGCUUCAUGGCACGUGGUGCCAAUGUAAAAUCACGUGAUGCUUACUUUCAAACAUCAAGUGAAGAUGACUCUGAUUGUGAAUCCAAACCUAGCUACAAAACACUUGCUAAAAUUGCAACUGAACAACAAAAGGCUAUGGAACAUACUCAAAAACUGUUAGACAAAAGCGAUGACCUAUUGGACGCGGAAAUGACACGUUCACAGUCCUUAGUUGAAGAUAUUAAGAAUCUUCAUGCUAAGUACCAAGAACUUGAAAGUCGUCAUGAAACGCUCUCAACCACUUAUGAAAAGCUCUCCUAUGAUUAUCUUCAAAGGAAGCAAGAGCUUGAGAAAUUGAGAGCGGCUCAUGAAGAUCUUCAAAAAGAGAAUGAGUCACUUCGCGCUCAACAGAUCAGUCCCGCUCAGGAUGGAUUUGAACCACCAUGUCUAAAACGCAUUGAGCGUGAUAACACUACAUUUGUUGCUGAAUGUUCCACUACUGCUACUGUUUCAUUGUCUUCACCUACUGAUGUGGUUACUAACCCCUCUGUGGAGGAUACCACUACUAUUGCUGAUGAAAAUGCUAUGUUGAAGACAUUGCUUGAAACAGGGAUGUAUAAAAAUCUGAAAGGGCAUCAGACACUUUGCGAUGUCCUCAAAAGGCAGAUUCUGAACCGAAACCCUAGCAAAGAGGGUGUUGGGUUUGAGAGGAAAAUGAAUGUUGAUGGCUCGUACUGGAAGCCUGAGCAGUAUCCCAAAACCAUGUGGGUUACUGCAAAGGAACCUUCAGUAGAUCCAUCCACUUUAUCUGGCUUUACCCGUGCUAAUCCUAUUAGCAUUGAUGAAUCCUUUGAUGCAAACUAUAAGUUGUUCAAGAAUCAGAAUGGUGAAGUGUUUGCCAGGUAUAUUGGUACUAACUACAGGAAUGGACCACCUAUGAAGAAGAUCUGGGUACCUAAGCAGUACAUUGAGAAUCUUCCUGUGAAUGUCGUCAUGACACCACCAAGGAAGAAGACAAACCCCAGACCUAUAGCUUCAUAUGGCCCAAAGGCUUCAUACAGAUACAUGACUCACUUGAGUCACCCUAACGCCAAUGUUUUGCAGGGAAAUCAUGCUCAGACUUAUGAAUAUGAGCGUGUGUCUUUGAACCGAUAUGUCCAUAGAACUAAGAACUUUUCUGCUUAUUCAUAUGAGUAUCAUUCAUCUCCUGCAAGGCUAUUUGCUAGGGCUCCAAAGCCAAAAUUCUCAGAUGCUGCACUUAGACUCAUUGCUUCCAAGCCACCCCUGAAAAUGUGGGUGGCGAAGAAGAAUUAACUUUCUUUUGCAGAGAAAGGUCUCCAGCCUGCAAUCAAAGGCGUCCGAUGCUAUUGCUGGGGACCUAAAACACAUUAAGGACACAUGAUAAAAUGUCUUACUAUAUACAUUACAUCUGAAUCGCUUACCAGUCAUACUAUGUGUCCUAAUCUUGAUCUAAGCUGUGAUAGUCCCUAUAUGUGCCAAAUGCUUAUGCUUCACAACACUCUUGUGAAGCCUAUCCUCCUAACUGCACUGUAGGGUACAUCACCAGAAGCUUCAGAAUGGAUUAUGGACAGCGGAUGCACAAAUCAUAUGACUGGUGAUCGAAGUCUUCUCAUGGACUCAACCUUACAUCCAUCUGACAAGAGUCACAUCAUGUUUGCUGACACUGGUAAAAGCAAGGUAUUGGGUCUAGGUAGAGUUGCAAUCUCAAAGGAUCAACACAUGUAUAAAGUGAUGCUUGUUGAAUCCCUUGGUUUCAACUUAAUGUCUGUCUCAAUGCUUUGUGACUUGAACAUGAUUGUGCUAUUCGAAAAGUAUCGUUGCCUUGUACUAAUGGAAUCUGACAAGUCUCUAGUCUUUGAAGGGUAUCGAAAAGAUGAUCUAUACAUGGUAGAUUUCUCAGCAGGUCCACAGCUUGCCGUAUGUCUUCUCACAAAAGCUUCAGAAUGCUGGCUCUGGCAUCGAAGGCUGGGGCAUGCUAGCAUGAGGAACUUACACUCACUCGUCAAGAAGAAGCAUGUCAUAGGCAUCAAGGAUGUCAAGUUCAAGAAGGAUCAUUUGUGUGGUGCCUGCGAAGCUGGAAAGAUGACAAGGGCAAAGCACCCCUCGAAGACAAUCAUGACAACAUCUCAACCCUUCGAGCUGUUGCACAUGGACUUAUUUGGACCUACUCACUACUCCACCCUCACAACAACUGCUUGUCUCUAUGGUUUCGUCAUUGUUGAUGACUACUCAAGAUACACAUGGGUUCAUAUAAUUCUCUAUAAGACUGAAGUGCAAGAUGUCUUCAGAUGCUUCGCCAAUCGAGCAAUGAACAAUUACGGUGUAAAGAUCAAGCAUAUCAGAAGUGAUAAUGGCACUGAAUUCAAGAACACCAGACUUGAUCUUUAUCUGGAUACAAUGGGGAUCAUUCAUGAGUUCUCUGCUCCUUACACACCUCAACAAAAUGGCAUCGUUGAACGCAAGAACAGAACUCUCAUUGAGAUGGCUCGAACAAUGCUCGAUGAAUAGAAGACACCAAGAAAGUUCUGGCCUGAAGCUAUUGAUACAGCAUGUCACAUCAUCAAUCGUGUCUACAUCCAUAAGCUUCUGAACAAAACAUCCUAUGAGCUCCUUACUAGCAAGAAGCCAAAUGUCAGUUACUUCAGGGUAUUUGGAGCUAGGUGCUGGAACAAGGACCCCCAUCACAAGUCAAAAAUUGCACCUAAAGCUCACGAAGGCUUCAUGCUUGGCUAUGGAAAGGACUCACACUCCUACAGAGUCUUCAACCUCUAUCUCUACAAAAUCGUCGAAACUGUGGACGUGAGAUUUGAUGAAACCAAUGGUUCACAAAGAGAACUCCUGCCAAGUACACUAGAUGAAGCUCCUCCAAGCGAAUCUAUCAAGCUGAUGGGAACUGGUGAAAUCAUGCCUUCUGAAGCACAGCCUGAAGAGGAACUUAUCAUUUCUGCACCAAAUCAACCUGAAGACAGUGCUCAGACCGAAGAAAAUCCUCUCAAUGAUGACAAUGAUCAGCAAGAGCAAAGUCUUUGUCCGGUUCAUCCUCGUGUUGCAAAUGAAGUACAAAUUGAGAAGAUAAUUGACAGCAUCAAUGCGCCUGGUCCACUUACUCGCUCAAGAGCAACACAGUUAGCAAACUUUUGUGGGCACUUUUCAUUUGUGUCAAUACCAGAACCCAAGAAAGUUGCUGAAGCUUUUAUGGAACCUGAAUGGAUUCAAGCUAUGCAAGAAAAAUUUCAAUAGUUCAAGCUAAACAAUGUUUGGGAACUUGUCAAGCGACCUGACCCUCUGAAGCAUAACAUUAUUGGAACAAAAUGGAUAUAUUGAAACAAGCAAGAUGAGCAUGGUCAAGUCGUCAGAAACAAAGCACGUCUUGUGGCUCAAGGAUAUACUCAAGUUGAAGGAAUUGACUUCGAUGAAACAUUUGCUCCUGUGGCUAGGCUUGAAGCCAUUCGCAUACUGCUAGCCUACGCUAAUCAUCACAACAUCUUGCUAUAUCAAAUGGAUGUGAAGAGCGCAUUUCUCAACGGCAAGAUUGAAGAAGAAGUAUAUGUAGCUCAACCACCUGGCUUUGAAGAUCCAAAACAUCCUAAUAUGGUGUACAAGCUAAACAAAGCACUGUAUGGCCUCAAACAAGCUCCUCGCGCAUGGCAUGAUACGAUCAAAGACUUCCUGAAGAGCAAAGGCUUCAAACCAGGAUCCCUCGAUCCCACACUCUUCACGAAGACAUAUGAUGGUGAACUGUUUGUUUGCCAAAUAUAUGUGGAUGACAUAAUCUUCGGCUGCACCAACCAGAAGUAUAGUGACGAGUUUGGGUACAUGAUGCAAGAGCAAUAUCAGAUGUCCAUGAUGGGUGAGAUGAAGUUCUUCCUUGGUCUUCAAAUUCGUCAGCAAAGGAAUGGCAUCUUCAUAUCUCAAUAAAAAUACCUCAAAGAUUGUCUGAAGAAGUUUGGAAUGGAAGACUGCAAAGGUUACACGACGCCAAUGCCAGCCAAACACCAUCUUGGUCCCGACGACAAUGGUAAAGAGUUCGAUCAAAAGGUAUACCGCUCCAUGAUUGGUUAUUUACUUUAUCUAUGUGCAUAUAGGCCAGAUAUUAUGCUUAGUGUUUGCAUGUGUGCUCGAUUCCAAGCGGCACCAAAGGAAUCACAUCACUUAGCUGUGAAGCGAAUUCUUCGAUAUUUGGCUUACACCCCAACACUCGGAUUAUGGUAUCCCAAGGGCUCAAAAUUUGAUUUGGUUGGAUUCUCGGAUGCUGAUUAUGCUGGUGACAAGGUGGAUCGCAAGUCUACAUCAGGCACAUGUCACUUUCUGGGAUGAUCACUUGUCUGUUGGUCUUCGAAGAGGCAGAACUGUGUAUCACUCUCAACUGCUGAAUCUGAAUACAUUGCUGUUGGAUCUUGUUGCGCUCAGCUUCUAUGGAUGAAGCAAACUCUCAAGGGCUAUGGCAUCAAUCUGAAACAAGUACCUCUCUUCUGCGACAACAAAAGUGCCAUCAAGAUAGCCAACAAUCUAGUUCAGCACUCAAAGACAAAGCACAUUGAAAUUCGUCAUCACUUUCUCAGAGAUCAUGUCAUGAAGAAAUAUAUCGACAUCAUUCAUGUCAACACUGAAGAGCAACUGGCAGAUAUCUUCACAAAGCCCUUGGAUGAGAAAAGGUUUUGCAAGUUACGUGUGAGCUAAAUAUCUUGGAAUCCUCUAAUGUUCUGUGAUCAGGCACACAUCCUAACACUUAUGCAUGUUGAUGACUUAGAUGUGCAACACACAAAGUACUGUAUAUCUUCAACCAAUGAAGACUUACAUUCUGAGUGUGAAUACAUUAACAUGGAAUUUGAAUUCGGAGCGCCACGAUAAUUGUGUGCCGUGUCUGGGUCUAAUACUUCCUAUACGGUGGGUAACGCCACCACAAAAUUUCUCUGUUUGAAGUGUUUCACUCAUGGCGUUAUUUUGCAAUUACUUUGCAUUUGGUUUGUCUUCAGUUUCAAUUUAUCUUCAUGAUUCUCUUCACUAUGAUGAUUUGAUUGCUUUAUGAUAUACUAGUGUUCUGGCCUCUACAGCAUUCACUUAUAGCUAUGUCUUCAAGUUGAAUCUUUUGAACUAAGUGAAUGUGAUCGGACCCUAACCUCUCUAUGCUUUCAAUCUCAAACUCUAUCUGUCCAAAUCAUAUGCAUUCUCUUGAAACUGUCGAAUGUCUUCUCUGCAUCCUAGUCAGCAGAAGGCGCAGAGACAAACAUUAAGUCUGUUUUAAAUAACUUAUCUUUACUGUUGAAAUCCGGAGAAGCCGGAACAACUAUCCGACAUGUCUGGCGGGCGUGGGAACGUGGGACAACUCUGAGUAUGUUGCAUGCUUGCCACGUGCUCCUCAGAUGUGAACCGCCAGGGGCACCAGCGUAAUUGCGCUGUGCCGCACACCUCCUUAUAAAUACUUGUCCCCUGCGGUAAAGAAAUCCUUCUUCCACCUCUCCACCUCGUCAAAACCCUAGCGCCACCGCUAGCUCUCGACGACGCCGGCGACGAAGCGCUUAGCUGCCGCGACUUCUCCAACGCCGUCCUCACGCCGGCCGCGGACAUCAUCCUCUCCGCCGUUGCCGUAGGUGUCCUCCGUCACCAAGUUAGGACACGGUGGACUGAACUUCUCGGUCACCUAUUCAUCCCAUCUAGCAGUUCUUCGUGCGGUAAUUGUAACUCUGUUUUUACCACCUUUUUGAUCUUCAAGAUUUCAUCCUAUUUACCGAAAGUGGUUUCUGCCUACACAGUGUUAGAUCUAUUUUGUCUGCAUCUCAUACUGCCUAGUCUAUUCACUUAGAUUUCAUAUCUAGUUUGAUUCCUCACUUGUAUUUAUUCACGGAUUCGUACAAAUCUGGAACCAACUCACCCCAUAUAAGUGAAUGUCUUCGCAUCAUGAGGUCAAUGUCUUCAAACUGAUUUAUCUUCAAAAUCUUCUGAGAAUGCAUAUGACCUCUUCCCCUUACCUCGCAUCUCUAAUGCUGUCACAAGUACAUGUCUGUGGGAGAAUCCCUUGGUUCUCAUAGUCUGCAUUCGUUUGUAGAAUACUUACAGCAUCACAUUAACUCUCCCGAAGCCAGUUCUUGCUUGACCAGCAAGCGUAAGUCUCUGAAGCUUUGAACGUAUUGAAGCCAUUCAGUUUGAAGUUCAUGGCUGCAGAAAAAUCAGUAAGGAAGGGUGGCAGACAACACCGAGAGGGAACAUCCAAAGAUCUGCCUGAUGACCUAGUAGAGCUCUACAAGACAGACCCUGAAGAGAAUUAUCAUCAGUGCAAGACACGAAUCCAAUGGAUUCGACGCUAUUGGGCUGAAGAAUGGUUCAACUACAAGUUCGUGACCAAGGAAUAUGCAGAGAAGAAUGCUAUCAAGAGUCCUUGGGGCGAUAUUCUCUAUCGAGGCCUUCAACCCAAGAACAGAGCUGAAGCUAUUGCACAAGGCUUCUAUCCUUGUAUGGUCCGUGGACCUCAGCCUGAGAACGCCGAUCCCUCAUCAUUACUCUGGUGUUGUGAUGAUACUCUCUUCAAGUGCAACUUUCAGCACGCCAAGGCUUCGGCCAAGGAAAACAAGAAGUCAUUGGGAUUAGACUUCAACCCUGGUCCCUCUGCUCCCCGUGCCGACGGCUCACGUGAUGCAGAACCUAAUGUCAUCGGGCCCUUCUCCAACCUUGAUGGCCUCAUCACCUACAUCUUGGUACAAGGUGCCAGGGUAGAUCAUUCUGAUAAUGAUGCUGACACUGAUGAAGCCCCAGCUCCUCCUCCAAAGCCGCAGAAGCAAAAGAAGCCAAAGGCUUCUAGAUCAGCACCUCCAAAAGCUUCACGUGCGAAGCCACUGGCCACUGCACCUCCUGAAGAUAGUGUGCAGUCUGAAGAUCGAUCACGUAUCUCCAAGAGGACAGAGAAGAAAAAGCAAAAUGUCAGGCAUACUGAUCAAACCUUGACUCCUGCUGCCAUUUUGCGUGAAGAACCCAUUGAUCUGUCCAGCGAUGAAGAUCUUGCAGAUGAUGGCCUUGAGCAACUGAUCAAAAGCAAGGAAGAAGCAGAGAUCUUCAACAACUUGCCUCUCUUUGAUGUGGCAAUCAUCCAUAACUUCAUUGAUGAGUGGUUUGACACACCAAAUCUUAGCUUUGAAGAUCUACAGCUUCCCACUGGCCUCAGCGUCUCUUUCAAUGGCGCCAUUGCUUCCGAGAUAGCUCUUGCUCAGCGCAUCGUUGAGCUGAAGAACAAAAUGGAUUAUGAGAAGGCUCAGUUCAAGAAGCAUGUGGCGAAGCUCAGUGUGCAAGAUGUCAGAAACUUCAAGGUCAUGCUGCAUGAGCUUAAAGAAGCCUUUCUCAAGAAGCGCCAAGAAGCUCAGGGCUCUCGCGAGCGCAUGAAGAGUUUGGCUGACAAAUGCGUGCUUGCAUACAAUGAGGCCGAGAAGCGCAAGUCUCUUGGUCGUCCUAGCAUUGACCCUAGGAUGGCUGCAAAGAAGAAGAAGCUCUCUACAGCCCAACCUGCACCUUCAAGCCAAGAAGCACCUCGCAUUGUCUUCCCAAGAAGCAUGACUGGCUCGAAGCCAAAGGUCACGUCAACCGCUUCAGAACAGAAGAAGACGAGGGCUGCCGAGGCUUAAGCCAGAAAGAGGAAGAAUACUGAAGCCUCUGAUGCCGCUCCCUCCAAGAAGAAGCGCAAGACCAAGAAGAAUAGGGCUGCUCCCACAGAGCCCUUGGUUGUUGAACCCAUCUCAGUGGUUCGCCCUGCGUAUGAACAUCAAGAAUGACGAAUGAUAGUUCAUGAGCCUGCUACCACAGAGGCCCAUGAAGCUGAAGACAUUCCAGCAGCUGAACCCACCGCUGCUGAAGACAUUGGUCAAGAUGACACUGUUGAAGAUGAUGAAGUUCUUCCUCAGAUCGAACACAACGUGGUAUCAUCGCCUGUUCUCACGAACAGCGAACUCAUCAGCAUUGGUCGUCCUCUAACGCCAACUGCUCAGGAUGCAUCGUGGGCUGAUCACCCAUAGCAACAAGACUCCCCAAGUACUCCCCAACAACAACAACAAGUUACACCACCCGUGCAAGUAGAAGAAGAAGACUUUAAGGCACAGCCAACUCCAUCUCCAAAGGCGUCGCCAGCAUUCCGCAGGCUUCGCAAAGGACAAAGGCCUCAAGUCCCUCUCGCGAGCGUUAUAGAAGGAGAAGUGCAUCACCAACCUAUUGCACGUCAAGUGUUUCCUGAAGCCACUCCAACUGUGAAUGUCUCCGUGUCUGAAGCCCAAGGUGCUGAAGACAAUCCGACUGCAUCAGCCGAUGAAAGACAAGAAGACGUACUCGUCCCUACUCCCCCAGUUAUUGAAGAAGUUGUUCCUGAUGUGAACGCACCAGUGCCCGACCCUCCAGCUCGUCAAGUGGAGGUUGAAAAUCCUGAAGCUGCCACUACCAAUGCAAGUGAAGCCAAUGACGUAGUCAUGGCUAAAGCUAAUGUGGAGCUUGCACCAACCAGUGUGCAUGAAGCUAAUGAGGCAACUGCUCCCGAAGCACCUAUUGUGCAGCCUGAAGCCUCAGCUGUUGCCACUGCUCCUGUUCCGCCACCAAGGCCCCAUACAAUUGAGCAAGCAUACAAUCAUGGUCAGCUAACCACUGUCCGAUGGCCCAUUCUGGUACCUCCGCCUACUGCCUCUAGACCUCAAUUUGAUUAUCAUGUUGAGCAUAGGCCUCAGGUCCAGAAACCAAAUCCAAUACUGCCAAGGUUCCCAGGUACUGCAAACUCUCCAGGGUCCUUCAAUGCUAAUGGCUUAAAAAGCCACAAUACCUUCUUUGAUAGCGCCAAGAACCCCUACUCAAAGCCAAGGAUAUCAUCUAAUCGGUUCUGGAGUUAUCAGCAGCGAAGCUAUUACUCCUGCGUUCUGUAUGAUCAAGGGCGCAUUUUCCCUCAUAUGCGCCUCGACACUGAAGCCAUUGCUGGACUGCCGUGCUUAGAAGAAGCACUUGACUGUUUUCGUGAUGCCGAUCUGCUCAGCUUUGUGAUAGACAAAGAACACUGGAAUGAAGAACUUUUGCUUCAAUUCUAUGCUACCCUCCACAUUCGCGGCUACAACAGAGACAUCAAGACAUGGGUUCUUGAGUGGAUGACUGGAAAUGUUCAUCAUGAAGCCAAAGCUCUUGACAUCAUUGAGCUUACUGGCCUACCCACUCCCGGAGAGCUAUAUGAACCUGACUGUCAACUACAUCGAAAUGCACUGGAGAGCAUCUUCCAUAAGCCUGAACCCAAUAUGAGCCAAAUGUUGAGCAUGAUGAAGCCUUUGCCAUCUGACGCUGAAUAUCCAACGGAGUUCUCUAUUGAUGACCUUGAGUACCUGCCUCGCACCAUAUAUCAUAUCAUCAGGCGAACUCUAUGGCCUAUCAAAGGACAUUCAUCAGCUGCAAAGCUUGAAGGAGCCAUGAAGACAUUGGUCUUCUACAUCCUCAAUGGCAUCGACUUCAAUUCCCAAGAAUUCUUCAUCAGGCAACUUGCUGUGUCUGGAUCUGACCUUUUUGGUCUGAAGUUCUAUGCUCCAUGGGUCAUGCGCCUCAUCAACCGACACUCAUCUGUCAACUAUCGGCCCUCUGCUCGCAAUCAUCAGAUCUUUUUGCCAGAGGUUGAUAUGUCAGUUGAAGCCAUAUAUUCUGACCCUGCCAAGAAGCCUCUUUGUCUUCAGAAUGUCGAGCACCAAAGCUUCACUCAACCCAUCGAAGGCGUCCAAGCAGCAACACGUAUCUAUCCAAUGGCUGGAAAUACUCGUCUCCCUCAUCGUGCGCAAACUGAAGCCACUGAAAGCACCAUUGCCCAAAGGCCUAAGAAGCGCUCUCGUGUUCUCAAUGACAGAGAACUUCUUGUGGCACUUCAUCAGAAACAAGAUAAGAAUCACUAUUGGCUCAAGAGACAGAUGCAAAGCCUCUUAGUGGAUGUCAAUCGCAUUCGAAAUCUUGCCACCAAGAAUGCCUUUGUUGCUCACGAGACUUGUCGGCGAUCAUGGAAGAGUUUGACGCUGCUUAGUGCUGAAGCAGAUCUUUAAGAUGAUGGCUUCGCUGAAAGAUUCCAGUUUGACUCCACUCCUCCACGGACUACUGUCCUACGUUGAACUCCAUCCCUUGAAGACUCUAACUAUUCUUCCUCCGCGGCAACUGUGAAUGCCAGAGUGAUCGAUGGUGAAGGUGAUGCUACUUCCCCGCCUCCCACUUCUGCACGCAUCAACACUACACCAAGUACGUCUGCACCGCCAACCAACAACGACAACCCUGCUGCUUCACCUACCCAUGAGGACGAGUAGAUGCUCUAUGUCUUCAAACCUUUUUGGUCAUUACUGACAAAAGGGGGAGAAGCGUAUGAGUUGAUAGUCUUCAAGCGGGUUCAUAUGGGCAGUUGCAUUAUAUUUUGCCUCGUGCUUACAACUCUUGAUUUUGAAACAUUUGGUUCUUUGAGUUGUAACACCUAAACUCGAUGGUCGUCUGCUACUUAUUUUCUUUACUGUGAUGCGAUGAUAAAUUCCACAUGUGCGAUGAUAACUUCCGCACUUAGAUCAUUCUGCAGAUGUCCAUUUUUCAUUAUGCAUGUCAUUCUACUUGCUAUAUCAUUUCAUGCAUGAUGAAUUAUCUUCAUAAGUUGAAGAGGAUCUCCACAAGUACAACCUGCCAUGUGCAUUUGCAUUCCAAAAGCAAAUUACUUAUAUGCACAUCUUCAGGGCGAGCCCUUGCUACUUAUGAAGACAAUACCCUAUCCUUUACAAUUUCACAUACUUUAUCCCCGUUGAAAACUUCAACCAGUUUGUCAUCAAUCACCAAAAAGGGGGAGAUUGUAAGUGCAUCUAGUGCCACCCCUAGUUGGUUUUGGAGUAUUGACGACAAAGUUGGUUGAGGGACUAAUGUGUUUGUGAGAAUUGCAGGAUAACGCAGGUAGUGUCCCUCAUUGAUUCGGUUUACCUACCGGAGAUGACCCCUAUAAAUGUAUGAAGACAUUGAAGACAAUGGUGGUAUGAGAACAUAUUCAUAUUGAAGACUAUGACAUGAGAAGACAUUGCGUGAAGACUAUGGAGCGCGAAGACUGUGUGGUUUCGUUGUUUCCUUUUCUUCUUUGUUGAGUCAUAGGAACCACCGUACUGUUAAGUGGGGUCCAAGUGAACUAAGUCAGAAUAACUGAAGUGAUGCUCCUAUGUCUUCGAGCGAAGACAAUGAGAGCAAAUCUUAUCCAGAGCUGGAUGAGUCAGCUUUGCUUGUAGCCCAAGUAAAGUUGCCGUGUGUGUUUGAAAUCUAACCAUUGGAACACGUGUCAGUUCCUUAGUGACCCAGGGUCAUUUCGGACAUAUCAGGUCGGGUUGCCUAGUGGCUAUAAAUAGCCCACCCCCUUCACCAUAAAUUGGUGGCUGCUCAGAGUUAGUGUACGGCUUUUGUCGUUUGAGAGCAACCCACCUUGAAGCCUUUGAGAGAGAGAAAUCCUUGCGAGGACAAAGCCCAAAUACCCAGAGCCAAAGAGUGUUAGGCAUCACUGAAGUCUUUCUGUUUGUGUGACCUGAAGACUUAUUACACUUGAGGACUGUGAAUCCUCCAGCCGGUUAGGCAUCGCGUUCUGAGCAUCCAAGAGUCAUUGUGGAUCGCCGGUGAACGAAGUCUGUGAAGGUUUGGAAGUCUACCUUGAAGACUUACCAGAGUGAUUGGGCGAGGACUGUUUGUCCUUAGCUCAAGGGGAAUAAGGUGAAGACACGGUCUUCUGAGUUGAAUCUCGGCCUCCCUAACCAGAUGUACAGUUGUCACAGCAACUGGAACUGGUCCAACAAAUCAUGUGUCUUCAACAAGUGACUGGUUCUAUCCUCUCCCUUCCUUUACUUAAGUUUGUCUUCGUGAAGUCAUUGUCUAUCUGUCGUACCUGUUUGACUUCAUUGCCUGACUACUACUGUUGAUUGGCUUCAUACUAUCUUCCAUCCUGAUCCUUACUGCUUAGCUGCUAUUAGUCCUGUACUUUCACAUCAUUGCAUACUUGGCUAUGGUUUGCUUAUUGUAGUUUAUCUUCCGCUGCAUAUCAAUUAGGUCAUUUCUACUGUUUGUCUUCGAAACUAUCAUGUUUUGAAGACUUUCAUAAAAAUCGCCUAUUCACCCCCCUCUAGUCGAUACUAGCACUUUCACUUUCCCUAAUGGAAAUUGGAAUCUAAUAUUCCCUUCCUUCAUAUCAAUAAUCGCGCCAAUCGUUCUAAGGUAAGGUCUACCAAGAAUAAUAGGGCAAGAAAGAUUGCAAUCUAUAUCAAGAACGAUAAAAUCUAUGGGCACCAAAUUUCUAUUUGCAACAAUGAGAACAUCAUUGAUCCUUCCCAUUGGCUUUAAUGGUGGAAUCCUCAAGGUGCAAAUUUAAAGAGCAAUCAUCAAGAUCAUGGAAACCUAGAAUAUCACAUAAAGUUUCCGGAAUCAUGGAAACACUAGCACCCAAAUCACACAAAGCAAAACACUCAUGAUCUUUAAUUUUAAUCCUUAUAGUAGGUUCCCACUCAUCAUUAAGUUUUCUAUGUAUAGAAACUUCCAAAUUAAGUUUUUCAUCAUAAGAUUGCAUCAAGGCAUCAACAAUAUGUUUGGUAAAAGCUUUAUUUUGACUAUAAGCAUGAGGAGAAUUCACAACCGGAUUGCAACAAGGAAAUACAAACUUCUAAAGAAAAAUUAUCAUAAUCAAAAUCCUUGAAAUCUGAGAUAGUGGGUUCAAUGCUAUUUAAAGUCAUGACCUCUCCAAUCCCACUUUUACCAAAUUUAGCAUCAAGAUCUAAAAACUCCGAAAUAUUGGGACGCCUUCUAACUAAAGUUGACUCAUCUCCAGUCCCAUUAUUAUCAAGAUUCAUAUUGCAAAACAAAGAUCUAAUAGGGGACACAAUAAUAACUUUAAGAUCUUCAUCAUUAUUUUCACGGAAACUAGAAGAACACGCCUUUACAAAGCAAUCUUUCUUGGCACGCAAUCUAGCGGUUCUUUCCUUGCACUCAUCAAUGGAAAUUCUCAUGGAUUUAAGUGACUCAUUGAUAUCAUGCUUAAGAGUAGUAGAUCUAAGUGUAAGAGAAUCAACAUCAUGCAAAAGUCUAUCAACGCUCCUAGCCAAAUCAUCAACUUUGAGCAAUUUUUCUUCAAGCAAAGCAUUAAAAUUAUUUUGAGAAAUCAUAAAUUCUUUCACACUAUUCUCAAAAUUAGAGGGCAUCUUAUUAAAAUUACCAUAAGAAUUAUUGUAGGAAUUUCCAUAAUUAUUAGAGGAAUUACUAGGGAACGGUCUAAGAUUAUAGUUUCCUCUAUAAGCAUUGUUUCCAAAACUAUUCCUACCAACAAAAUUCACAUCCAUAGAUUCAUUAUUAUUCUCAAUCAAAGUAGACAAAGGCAUAUCAUUGGGAACAAUAGGAGCACUCUUAGUAGCAAAUAUUUUCAUAAGUUCAUCCAUCUUUCCACUCAAAACAUUGAUUUCUUCUAUAGCAUGCACUUUUUUACUAGAAGAUCUUUCGGUGUGCCAUUGAGAAUAAUUAGCCAUAAUAUUAUCAAGUUUUGUAGCAUCUCCUAAAGUGAUUUCCAUAAACGUGCCUCCCGCGGCCGAAUCUAAAAGAUUUCUAGAAGCAAAGUUCAAACCGGCAUAAAAUUUUUGUAUGAUCAUCCAUAAAUUCAAACCAUGAGUAGGGCAAUUGCGAAUCACCAAUUUCAUUCUUUCCCAAGAUUGGGCAACAUGCUCAUGAUCAAGUUGUUUAAAAUUCAUAAUAUCAUUCCUAAGAGUGAUGAUCUUAGCGGGAGGAAAAUACUUAGAGAUAAAAGCAUCUUUGCACUUGUUCCAAGAACCAAUACUAUUUUUAGGCAAAGAUGAAAACCAAACUUUAGCACGAUCUCUAAGUGAAAACGGAAAUAACUUCAAUUUAACAAUAUCAUUAUCUGCAUCUUUCUUCUUUUGCAUAUCACACAAAUCAACAAAGUUGUUUAGAUGGGUAGCGACAUCUUCACUAGGAAGGCCGGCGAAUUGAUCUUGCAUAACAAGAUUCAGCAAAGUAGUAUUGAUUUCACAAGACUCAACAUCAUUAAGAGGAGCAAUCAGAGUACUAAGGAAAUCAUUAUUAUUGGUAUUGGAGAAAUCACACAAUUUGGUAUUAUCUUGCGCCAUGGCAACAAGUAAUCCAACACACAAGCAAAUAGAAAAAGGCAAGCGAAAAAGAGAGGAGAAGAUUGGGAAAGAGAGGGCGAAUAAAACGGAAAGGGUGAAGUGGGGGAGAGGAAAAUGAGAGGCAAAUGGCAAAUAAUGUAAAUGUGAUGGAGAUGAGUUUGUGAUGGGUACUUGGUAUGUCUUGACUUGAGCGAACACCUCCCCGGCAACGGCGCCAGACAUCCUUCUGGCUACGUGUUGAGCUUGUGCUGGUUUUCCUUGAAGAGGAAAGGGUGGUGCAGCAAUAGUAGCGUAAGUAUUUCCCUCAGUUUUUGAGAACCAAGGUAUCAAUCCAAUAGGAGGCUCCUCAAAAGUCCCACGCAUCUACACAAACAAACAAAGAACUCGCAACCAACACAAUAAAGGGGUUGUCAAUCCCUUCAUGGCCACUUGCGAAAAUGAGAUCUGAUAGAGAUAGUAUGAUAAGAUAAAUAUAUUUCUAGUAUUUUAUAAUAUAGAUUGGAAAAGUAAAGAUGCAAAUAAAAGUAGAUUGAAAGCUUAUAUGAUAAAAGAUAGACCCGGGGGCCAUAGGUUUCACUAGUGGCUUCUCUCAAGAUAGCAUAAGUAUUAUGGUGGGUGAACAAAUUACUGUCGAGCAAUUGAUAGAAAAGUGAAUAAUUAUGAGAUUAUCUAGGCAUGAUCAUGUACAUGGGCAUCACGUCCGUGACAAGUAGACCGACUCCUGCCUACAUCUACUACUAUUACUCCACACAUCGACCGCUAUCCAGCAUGCAUCUAGAGUAUUAAGUUCAUAAGAACGGAGUAACGCAUUAAGAAAGAUGACAUGAUGUAGAGGGAUAAACUCAAGCAAUAUGAUAUAAACCCCAUCUUUUUAUCCUUGAUGGCAACAAUACAAUACGUGACUUGUUGCCCCUGCUGUCACUGGGAAAGGACACCGCAAGAUUGAACCCAAAGCUAAGCACUUCUCCCAUGGCAAGAAAGAUCAAACUAGUAGGCCAAACCAAACUGAUAAUUCGAAGAGACUUGCAAAGAUAACUCAAUCAUACAUAAAAGAAUUUAGAAGAGAUUCAAUAAUUUCUCAUAGAUAAACUUGAUCAUAAACCCACAAUUCAUCGGAUCUCGACAAACACACCGCAAAAAGAGUUACAUCGAAUAGAUCUCCACAAGAGAGGGGGAGAACAUGGUAUUGAGAUCCAAAAAGAGAGAAGAAGCCAUCUAGCUAAUAACUAUGGACCCGAAGGUCUGUGGUAAACUACUCACAACUCAUCGGAGGGGCUAUGGUGUUGAUGUAGAAGCCCUCCAUGGUCGAUUCCCCCUCCUGCGGAGCACCGGCGAAGGCUCCAAGAUGGGAUCUCGCGGAUACAGAAGGUUACGGCGGUGGAAAUUGUUUUUCGUUGGCUCCCUGGAUGUUUUCGGGGUACGUGGGUAUAUAUAGGAGGAAGAAGUACGUCGGUGGCCGCCCAAGGGGCCCACGAGAUAGGGGGCGUGCCCAGGGGGUGGGCGCGCCCUCCACCCUCGUUGCCGCCUUGGUUGCUUCUUGGCUUGCACUCCAAUUCCUCUGGAUCAUGUUCGUUCCAAAAAUCGUGCUCCCGAAGGUUUCAUUCCGUUUGGACUCCGUUUGAUAUUCCUUUUCUUCGAAAUACUGAAAUAGGCACAGCAAUACGGGCUGGGCCUCCGGUUAGUAGGUUAGUCCCAAAAAUGAUAUAAAUGUGUAAAAUAAAGCCCAUAAACAUCCAAAAGGGUUAAUAUAAUAGCAUGGAACAAUCAAACAUUAUAGAUACGUUGGAGACGUAUCAGUAUGCUAUAAAGAAUAAUGAUAACCAUGAAACUUGUCAUCUUGAUUUUAGUUUUCAAUUGGAUUAUGCCUCACAUGAUAGUUAUUUUGUUGAGUUUGCUCCCACUACUAUUCAUGGGAAGAAUUUUGCUUAUGUGGAGAGUAAUAAAAAUUCUCUGCUUAUGCAUCAUGAAAAGAGUGCUUUAUGUGAUAGUUAUAUUGUUGAAUUCAUUCUUGAUGUUACUGAAAAUUACUAUGAGGGAGUAAUAUAUGCUUGUAGGAAUUGCAAUAAUAUCAAGUUUCCUCUCUAUGUGUUGAAAAUCUUGAAGUUAUGCUUGUCUUGCCUUCCUAUGCUAGUUGAUUCUUGUUCCCAUAAGUUGUUUGCUCACAAAAUACCUAUGCAUAGGAAGUGGGUUAGACUUAAAUGUGCUAGUCAUAUGCUUCAUGAUGCUCUCUUUAUGUUUCAAUUCUUAUCUUUUAUACGAGCAUCAUUGAAAUCAUCAUGCCUAGCUAAAAAGGCAUUAAAGAAAAGCGCUCGUUGGGAGACAACCCAAAACCAUUACCUACUGUUUUUGUGUGUUCACAUGAUUAUGCUACUAUAGUAAUCAUGUUUUAUAGCUUUUGUUUCAAUAAAGUGCCAAGUAAAGCCUUUGGGAUAGUGUGGGUGAUAGUUGACUUGAUUCUGUGCAAAAACAGAAACUUUUGCGCUCAGUCCAAGAAAUUUGAAAAUUCACUGGAACGUGCUUUUGAUCUCAUUUUUUACACAAGAUUGAUAUACAAAUUUCCUAAUUUUCCUAAUUUUUUAGAAUUUUUGGAGUUACAGAAGUAUGGAAACUUUCCAUAUUACUACAGAUUGUUUUGUUUUUGACAGAUUUUGUUUUCUAUGUGUUGUUUGCUUAUUUUGAUGAAUCUAUGAGUAGUAUCGGAGGGUAUGAACCACGGAGAAGUUGGAAUACACACCAAUAUGAAUUUAUAAUGAGUUCACAAUAGUACCUAAGUGGUGAUUUUAUUUUCUUAUACUAAGGGAGCUUACGAGUUUUCUGUUGUGAAGUUUUCAAGUUUUGGGUAAAGAUUCGAUGGACUAUGGAAUAAGGAGUGGCAAGAGCCUAAGCUUGGGGAUGCUCAAGGCACCCCAAGGUAAUAUUCAAGGACAACCCAGAGCCUAAGCUUGGGGAUGCCCCGGAUGGCAUCCCCUCUUUCGUCUUCGUUCAUCGGUUAAUUUACUUGAGGCUAUAUUUUUAUUCACCUCAAGGUAUGUGUUUUGCUUGGAGCGUCAUUUUCUUUUGUUUAUAUUUGCUUGCUAUUAUUCAGAGUCAAGUUUUAUAUCUUUUAGUUCAAUAGAAAAGUCAAGUAUAGCCUUUACCAUGCUUAUUUUACAAGUCUAUACGUUGAUGUUUCGAAAAUAGAAAGUUUGCUGUUAUGCUUUGUAUAUUAGUGAAUAGUUAGAACAUGAUAAAGCCUUGACAUUUUGACACAUGAGUAACAACAAUUUUUUUACAGUGUGGUAAUUUUUCAGAAUUUUUAGAGUUAGGGAAGUAUGAUUCCUCUUGCAUUCUUUAUAGACUGUCCUGUUUAGACAGAUUGCUGUUAUGUUUGCAAUGUUUGCAAAUGUUUGCUUGUUAAUGAUUCUAUUUGAGGAUAGAAGUGUUAAAUAUGGAGAUGCAUUUAGUAUGCAAUAUCAAAUAAUAGUUUUAGUGAUUUGCUACAGUAGAGAAUGAUAAGGUUAUUGCGUUGAUUUAUACUAACUUAUCUCACUAGUUCUUAUUGAGUUUUGUGUGGAUGAAGUUUUUAAGAUUUAGGUAAACCGUGAUAUAAAAGGAAUUAAGGAGACACAAAAGCUAAAGCUUGGGGAUGCCCAAGGCAUCCCUAACUAAUAUUUCAAGAAGUCUCAAGUAUCUAAGCUUGGUGAUGCCCGGUAGGCAUCCCGCCUUUGUUCUUCAACAACUAUCGGUUAGUUUUGGUUGAGCCUAAGUUUUUGUUUCUUGACAUCAUGCUACGUCUUGAGCUUGCGUUGGUUUUCCUUGAAGAGGAAAGGGUGAUGCAUCAAUAGUAGCGUAAGUAUUUCCCUCAGUUUUUGAGAACCAAGGUAUCAAUCUAGUAGGAGGCUCCUCAAAAGUCCCGCACACCUACACAAACAAACAAAGAACUCGCAACCAACGCAAUAAAGGGGUUGUCAAUCCCUUCACAGCCACUUGCGAAAGUGAGAUCUGAUAGAGAUAGUAUGAUAAGAUAAAUAUAUUUUUGAUAUUUUUAUAAUAUAGAUUGGAAAAGUAAAGAUGCAAAUAAAAGUAGAUUGAAAGCUUAUAUGAUAAAAGAUAGACCCCGGGGCCAUAGGUUUCACUAGUGGCUUCUCUCAAGAUAGCAUAAGUAUUACGGUGGGUGAACAAACUAUUGUCGAAAAGCGAAUAAUUAUGAGAUUAUCUAGGCAUGAUCAUGUAUAUAGGCAUCAUGUCUGUGACAAGUAGACCGACUCCUGCCUGCAUCUACUACUAUUACUCCACACAUCGACCGAUAUCCAACAUGCAUCUAGAGUAUUAAGUUCAUAAAGAACAGAGCCACUCCUUUACUUGUGCACGGGCAGUCAAAGGCACCCGCCAGGGCCAUGCAUAACAGGGCAGGAAAGGGAAGGCAGAGAGAAGCCAAAGGCACAAGACAAACAAAGCAACGACAAGGACCAAGGCCACAAAGAUCGGAUGGACGAAGCAGGUUUCCACGGCAAGGACCCUUGCCGGGGCAGCCUCAAUGGCCCCGACAAGACCCUUGCUGGGGCAGCCUCAGUGGCCCCGACAAGACCCUUGCCGAGGCAGCUCGGCUACGCCAGCUGAGUGAGCCACCUUUGAGGCCACCAACACUAGACAAACGCAUUGGGACAUGGCUCAGGAGGCACAUCCAUGGUGGCAUGCAGAUCUUUGUGAAGACAUAGAAUGCUUUAGAUCAGAUGAUGAUUGGAGGGUAACAAUCCUCACCAAGAUCCUCACCGAAGAAACCCACAAGAACCCCGGCAAGAUCCUUGCCGGGGACGCCAGCGCACCACGGCAAGACCCUUGCCGGGCCACCCGACAAGACCCUUGCCGGGCCGCCCUAUGAGACCCUCGCCAGAGGCAACCGCAGGGCCACUGCCAAGCCCGCACCGAUCAACUCCCCGUCACCGUUCGCAUGCAGCUGCCAGCCCAACCAGCUGGGCAGGCACCUGCGUGGCGGCAUGUAGGUCUUCGUGGAAGCUCCACCGCCGCGCCACCUUAGCUGCCUACCUGCCUACAUGGCACCGCAUGCAUCGCUGGCCAGGGCGCAUGUCAAAGCAAGGAGGAGCGGUGACGGACGGGCCGGGCCUCGCUCCCGUCCCCGAUAAAGUGAAUGGACACCUAAGCCUCGCAUUAAAUGCGCUUUGUCCUGUAAUACCAGCGAUAAGCUCACAACGCUGUAACACUUUCCACCUCCUGUGUGCCACUGUGGCAGCCCCUUUUGCCUAUAAAAGGAGGCCCAUGGCGCACUAGAGAAGGAUUCGGCUCUUUGGAACCUAGCAGAACCCAAAGCUAGUUGAAGAGCUCCAGAACACUAAAUACAUCCACCAAAGCAGGAUCGUAGGGUUUUACGCAUCUUUGCGGCUCGAACCUGGGUAAAUCCCCUUUGUGUUGUCUGUUAGUCCUGCUCUUCUCACGAUCCAGCACCCCGCAACCAUAUUAGGGAUUCCAGUGAUCCCAUAGGUGUCGUUUCCCACCGACAACUUUGGCGCGCCAGGCAGGGGGGCGCAAUUGUGAGAAUCGGGUCCAGUGGUAGGCCUAGCAGUUCAUCAUCGCCGCAGCUCCUGCAGGGAAGGCGGCCAAGAAGGCGGCACUGCUCGUUGGCUUGAAGGACGCCGAAGCGGCGACGAGAGAGCUAAGUCAUGCUGAACUUUAAGUUUUCCUCCUUAAAUAUAAGGUUGUUAUCCUCGACGGUUCGGCCUGUGUAUGGAGAGCCUAUACGCAGAGGGGCCCUCCUGCGAUUGGCAACGCCCUUGUUCUGUUUCGAGUUUGCUCAACAGUUCAAGCGGCCGCGUCGAGAGCGGUAGGGUAGCCUUUCGCCAUCGGCAACGCUCUCGGUUCUGACUCGAGUCAAGCUCGACAGAUCGAGCGGCCGCGCCAAGGGCGGUAAGCUACUUUGCCCGGCAACAAGCACACCUGGCAGGCUAAUGAGGAUCCGUCCUCAAAGCGCCGCCUCGGGUUUACGUGCCGGCAAGCCUACCCGGUCGAUGUGGGGUGGACAUACAAAGGAGAAUCGAACAGGAAAAUAACAUGCAUAAUUUCAGGGGCACUGUAGAGUUAUAUUACACAAAUUGCCGCCGUGAUUCUAACUAAAGAUAGCUUUGUCUUGGUCAUGAACCUGCAGCGGCGACGGAGAACGGGGUGCCCUCCGGCAGAGUCCCUCCACAGUCCCGGCGCUGGCCCUCCAACCUCUCGAUUUUGUCGAUGCGGCUGAGGAUGGGCUGGAUACGCUCAUUGAGCGCCACGAUGUCGGCAUCCUCCGGCAAGCUCUUCAGCACAGCUUCGAAGUCGAGGUCUGGGUGCCAGUGCGCAAUCUUGGUGAGCACCCUGGUCAUGGUCCCCUGGCAGAGUAUCCGGGAUUCUUCGGCCAGGGAGGCCGCCCGGUUGGAAUGAAGCCUCCUCAGGGCGCCGACGACCUUCUCAAAGUAUAUGGUUAGGUUGGCAUUGGGGCUCAGGCUCGCCUCUGGGGCGUACCCCAUCUUCGGCAUCCCCACAAUGGCUAGCUGAUCGGCGGCCGAGUUUGCCAUGACGGCAAGGCACUCGAGCCAAUGUUUCUCGCCCGCCUCAUGGUCCUUGAGGUUGGCGGUCUCAUUCAUCAGCAGCUGCUUCUCCGUCUCAAGCACCUUGGUCAGGAUCCCCUCCCGGGUUCUGGCCUCCGACAUCAUCUUCUCGAGCUCCCCCAGCUUCAGCUUGAGGUCUUUGAUGGAGAUGUUGGCUUCGGAGAGUUCUCCAGCCUUGCUGGCGACCUCGCCCUGCGCCUCCGCCAGGGCGCCAUUGAGCGUAUCCCUCUCCUGGGCCAGCUUCAGAGCCUGCCCCCUCCAGCUCCUUCACCCUGCCGGCAUAGGCCUGAGCCUGGGCGUUGAGUGCUUCCUGAUGCCUCCGCUCCAGCUCUUGUGUCCGCUGCAGGACAAGCUUGCCCACCUCUUCGUCCUUGCCAUGGAGCGUGGCGGCAAGUUUCUCCUCGCGCGCGGCAAGGUCCUCUUCCUGGGUUUUCAGUGCGGCCUCAUGCUGGGUCCGGGCGGCUUCGGCUUCGUCGGCCAAUUUCUUCACCGUCUCCUGGGCCUUCUUGACGUCGGCCAGCUUCAGGGUGAGCUCCACCUCACGGUUGGCCAGCUCGCCCUAGGCGGCCUUCAGCUCGUCCUGGGCCUGGCGGAACCAGUCUUACGCCUCGGUGAUGCGCCCUCCAAAGUCCUCCUCCGCCUUCUCCACCAUCGCCGUCCUGGACUUGGCCUUGUCCAGACGGGCGCGGUGGAGCGCCUGAAGCUUCCGAAAGCUGGCACCCAUGGCCUGGAGCAGCAGCUCCUCUUGGGAGCCGACGCCACCGACGCCCGGCUCAUCGACGACCUCGAGCCCGGCGGCGGCAAGCGCCUCCUCGUCAAACACCUCUCCCUCAAAGGGAGCCCUGGUGCUCGACGCGCCAAGGAGAUGGACGAAGAAGUCGUCACUUACACUCAGGUACCUGCCGGAGCCAGAGGCGGCGGAGGAGGAGGGCAGGUCAUCAAACGCCACCUCCUCAGCAGUAGCCUUGCUGGCCUCCCCGGCAGGCCCCUUGCCGGGCUCUUCGACGGUCCCCUUGGCGGUGUCCUCAGCGGCGCCCCCGGCGCUCUCCUCAGCAGCAAUCUUCUCCUCCUCCGCCGCGGCACCCGUGGCAAUGUUCUUGAUGGCGGUGUCGACAUCCUCUGAGCCCACCAAGGAGGGGUCUGGAUGCCAGGAAGGAUACAGGGCAGAGCCAAGAUCAAAAGCCAGUAAGAAAAAAAGAAAGAAAGAACGCAAGCAGAAGUGGAGAGCGAGUGGCACACCCAUUUCGGGCCGAGAGGCGGAAGCCCCUCCUCCGCCGAGGUCUGGCGUCAAGGCAAAGCCACGAGCACCAUGUUCUCCCCUUCCUCCUCCAUGUGCAUGGCCUCGGUGCUUGGUUCCCUUGUCGGGGACGCCCCUCGGGGCGGCGUGGUCAACGGGGGUGGCACGAUGGGAGAAGUCCUCUGCGGCUCCCCUUGGUGUUGCUUCCCUCCUACAUCCACAGCAGGUUCAGUACCAAAGCGUCAUGCGAUUACACACGUUGACGAAGGAUGGGUGGUGGACUCACGCUGGGGGCUGCUGUCCGGGCUGCUCGACACCACCAGUGGCGUACUGGAGGUGCCUGCCGGGGGCUGGCCACUCACCGAAGUCUUGGCCCUCUUUAUCCUUUGGGCCAGCGUCUCCACAUCCCUGCGAGAUGAAGACAAGUGAGCAACGCCUUCAGGGGAAGUGUAAGGGACGAGGGAGGAAAGCAGAAGCUUACUCUUCUUUCUCUUCCUCCUCCUCCUCUGUUGCUUUCCUUUUUCUCUCCGGGCUGAGAGGCCCGGGGUCUCUCUCCGGGCUAAGAGGCCCGAAGUCAAACACAACCCCCGCGCCGAUGUUUGCCGGAGAAGGGGGAGGCGAUGGCGUCCGGGCGCGCUUGUACAACGAAGAAGCAGAUGUCUUCUUCUUCGAUGCCAUGGCCUUUGCCGUUUUCUUCAUCGCCACCGCCCUCGUCUGGCGCACAGGCACCUCCUGGGCUUGCUGCAGCUGCGUGGCCCGGUCGAGGCGGACCGGCUCGCCGGAGGUGGCCCGCCGCAGGACCUGCCCUUUUCCGGCGAUCAGAGGAUCGAAGGUCGCGGUUUUCGCCUCCUCGCCCUCCUCCUUCGACGACCCGUCGGCAGCGUCUUCAACAACGGGAGCCCCGGAGUCGGCGCCGCUGGCCUCCCCAGCGGCUACUGCCCACCGGGCGAGCUCCCCCUCCUCCACCUCCGUCGCGCCCUUGUCCACCACGCCGCCGGCGCUGCCGGCCUCCUUGACAAGCUUAGACUCCUCCUCGGCAAGCCUCGCCUCCUCCACCCUGGCGGCGAUAUAGUCCAGCUCCGCCGGAGAGGUGUCCUGGAUAAGCCGCGGCUUGGCGGUGACGUACACCUCAUGCAAGGUGUCGAACAACUCCUGCACCACGAGCCCGUCCAGCUCAACCCAAUUCGGGUCAAGGCCAUGCGCGUUGAAGAGCGGCAUAAUGGCAAUGAUCUUGUUCCGGCAAGAGUUGUUGCUCAGCGGGACCACUCCCGCCGGCAACCUGAAAACGGGCUCCUUGUCGACCUUGCUGGCCUUUGCAGCGGCCCUGGCAAGCUUGCCGGACCACUCGACCUCGCCCUCGUCGUCAACCUCGAGCUGGAAGAUCCGUUGGCAGAGAUGGGUGUCCCUCAGCACCGUUAGGUUGUUGUCGAGACCGGGGCGGAGCCUCAUGAUGUCGGCGGCGUUCACGAAGAGCCAGGCCAGCCUUCCCUUGUCGUGUAGAGGAGCAAUCCAGCGACGGAUGAAGUCCGCCCCGAUCAUUUCGAGGGUGAGCCCGGCCUGGGUGAGCCAAAGAAUCCUGGUGGUGGCGACCGUAAGCUUCACGUCGUCGGCGUCGAUGUCGCCCCAAUCGCCCCCACGGACCGGCGGCUUCUGGCGAACCUCGCAGAAUGCUGGCAGGUCCUCCUCCUCAAUCCAGCACCACCGGCCCUGCCAUUCUUCCCACCUCUCCUUCGUGGCGCCGUCCGGGUACGCCCCCUUGGCCCUCGGGAUCCAGGCGACGCAGCCAGUGAUGGCGCCCCCUUUUUGGAUCUGAGGGGAGAAGUAAUGGUGGAAGAGCGCCGUGCGGGGUGCACCCCGACAAAGCCCUCGCAGAGAUGUGCGAAGAGAGCCAUGCACGCCAUGGCAUUCGGGGUGAAAUCCAAGAGGUGGAAGCCGUAGGUAUGCAUGAUAUCCUUGAACAAAUCGGAAAAGGAGGGACAAAGCCCGCAGGAGAAAUAGUCGACGAAGAAGGGGUACCGAUUUGGGGAGGGCCCGGCGCUGGCGGGGACGACGUGCGUGGCUGGAUGCCCCGUCUUCUCUCCCCCCGUCUUCACUCCCCACAGAUCCUUGAACAUCUCCCGGAGCUCGGGCACGCCGACCGUCGAGGGGAAGUAGGCGGACUGCGCCCGUCGCGCCACCAGCUCGCUCUCCGGCUGCUCCGACACCCCGACGUCCUUCGUCGCUCCCUUGCUCUUGGUGGACUUAAGCGCCAUGGCGGCUGCGGGAAGCAAAAAAGAAGAGGAUGGCAGAAGCACGGCGGCGAUGGACGGAGACAGAGGGGCUCGAGAAGAAGGAAGAAAGGGGGCGGUGGUUCUGAGAUUGGAGAAGGCGCAAGAAGAGGGGUAAAGUGAGCAGCGCGCCCGUGGUUAUUCCUUUUUACGGGGAAGGCGCGAGCCGCCUCCUUUCCCAUUAACUGCGAUAUGACGCAUGCAUGCGAACGCAGUCCCACACAUGCCCCCCACCUCACGCGCGCGCACACGACCCCCACGUCGCACGUUCAAUGCGGGUCAUGGGGAAGCGCAACGGACGGAACAGUUACCGUGGUAAAAAUCCGCCCCAACUGCCCGCGCACCGUUCUGGGCUGGCCCAACAACGUGAUGCGCUUGUGUAUGGCCUAGGCCCGGGGGCUCCUGUUGGUGUACAAAAGUAGGGGCUCUGCUUUUGACCCCUUUACUUGUGCACGGGCAGUCAGAGCCACCCGCCACAGCCACGCAUAAUAGGGCAGGAAAGGGAAGCCAGAGAGAAGCCGAAGGCACAAGACAAACAAAGCAAUGACAAGAACCAAGGCCACAAAGAUUGGAUGGACGAAGUAGGUUUCCCCGGCAAGGACCCUUGCCGGGGCAGCCUCAGCGGCCCCGGCAAGACCCUUGACGGGGCAGCUGGCCCACACCAGCUGAGCGAGCCACCUUUGAGCCCACCAGCACUAGACAAACGCAUUGGGACAGGGCUCGGGAGGCACCUCCGUGGUGGCAUGCAGAUCUUUGUGAAGACAUAGAAUGCUCAAGAUCGGAUGAUGAUUGGAGGGUAAUAAUCCUCACCAAGAUCCACACCGAAGAAACCAACAAGACCCCCGGCAACAUCCUUGUCGGGGACGCCAGCGCGCCAUGGCAAAACCCUUGCCGGGCCACCCGGCAAGACCCUUGCCGAGCCGCCCUACGAGACCCUUGCUAGAGGCAACCACGGGGCCACUGCCAGGCCCACACCGAUCAACUCCCCGUCGCCGUUCGCAUGCAGCUGCCAGCCCAACCAGCUGGGCAGGCACCUGCGUGGUGGCAUGCAUAUCUUCGUGGAAGCUCCACCGCCGUGCCACCUCAGCUGCCUGCUUGCCUACAUGGCACCGUAUGCAUCACUGGCCAGGGCGCGUGUCAAAGCAAGGAGGAGCGGCGACGGACGGGACGGGCCUCGCUCCCGCCCCGAUAAAGUGAAGGGACACCUAAGCCUCACAUUAAAUGCGCUUUGUCCUGUAAUACCAAUGAUAAGCUCACAAGGCUGUAGCACUUUCCACCUCCUGUGUGCCACUGUGGCGGCCCCUUUCGCCUAUAAAAGGAGGCCCAUGGCGCACUGGAGAAGGAUUCGGCUCUUUGGAACCUAGCAGCACCCAGAGCUAGUUCAAGAGCUCCAGAACACUAAAGACAUCUACCAAAGCAUGAUUGUAGGGUUUUACAAAUCUUUGCAGCCCGAACCUGGGUAAAUCCCCUUUGUGCUGUCUGCUAGUCCCGCUCUUCUCACGAUCCAGCUCCCCGCAACCGUAGUAGGGAUUCUAGUGAUCCCAUAGGUGUCGUUUCCCACCGACACUGGCGUCCUCCUGAUGCUUUGUUCCCCAGUCAUCAGCAACGUGCAAGUUACCAGGACCUCAUCGAUGGCGGCGCAGGGCUCAAUGUUCUGUCCAUUGAGAUGUUCAACAACCUUCAAGUGCCAUAUGAUCAACUUCGGCCUACCAAGCCUUUCUCAGGAGUUACUGAUGGCUCCACCACCCCGAUAGGGCAGGUCCGCCUCCCUGUCACCUUCGGGCAGCGCAAUAACUACCACACCGAGCUCAUCAACUUCGACGUCGCCAACAUUCGCCUGCCAUACGAUGCCAUCCUCAGGUAUCCAGCCCUGGCCAAGUUCAUGGCGGUGACCCACCAUAGCUACAAUGUCCUCAAGAUGCCAGGGAGCGGCGGAAUCAUCACAGUCCCCUGCGAAGAGAAAGAUGCGGUGUGCUCCCUCGAGCGCGCCUUCCAAGCUACAUCAAUCGAGGACCCGGGCAGUAAGGGCGAGAACCCUCCUGAGGCAGUCCCCAAGAAGAAGAAGACAUCGCCCAGCUCAAGGCCUCAGGAGGUUGGCAUUUCAGGAGGUGCCACAUCAGGAUCUGCGCCCGUGCAAUGGGCGUUUCCUUCCAUCGCAUCGGAAGGCACGCUCGGCGCCUUCCUCGAGCAGGGCUCGGGGGCUCUCUUCUGGAGGGCCUCAGACUUUGCCAAAAUCAGGAGGGAGGCGCUCGGGCAGCACUUGGAGGCAUGCUUCGCGGCACGUUUCCCUUAGGAAGUCUCAGGGCGUGAAAAGCCCAACCCUCAGGAGUUCAUCACCAAGACCACUCAGGAGCUUCAGGAAGCAAGAGCCAUGCACGGCAAUCACCGAUUUGCCUAGCGUAGCUCCCCAUCUAGGCGAGGAUGGCGGGCUGCGCGUCUACAUCUUUAGCUUAUGUCUUUAAUUUACCUUGUUGGGGGCGCCCCUUGGGCUGCAUCAUCCCCAAGCUGCUCGGGCCUGACCCAGUGGCAUGUAUCCAUUCUGCAUUCAUCUAAGCUGAUUUUCCCUUCAUGCCUAACCUGCCUGUGAUUAUCGCCUGCUCAAUUGACACCUACCUUUGGAGCCGCUCGCUCUGGCACGACGCUUGCACAUGGGUCCGUCCCUGCAACGUCGACAAAUCUGAGUGGUCGAGCUCUGGCCCGCGGUAGCCCCGCAAGCGCCACCUCACCAGGCCCUCAGCGCCCUCACCACUCUCUCGGAGCAACCAAUGGGUGGCCGACAAUCAUAAUGACGACCCGUGCUUUUCUCGUGUUGGUUGACAGGAACCUCUGGAGGUCUAUAGCGGGUGGCACCAUGAGCUCUCUCUCUCCCUUUCCCGCACGAUCCGCUUGCGCGUUGAAAGGGGGGCUCCUGAGCAUCGCGACUCAGGAGCUCUUACUGGCUCUCCAGCCCUCACCCCUUGGCAUUGUCCACGGCAUUUCGACCUCGCAUACCAGCGGCGGCUAAGCUCGCUCGAGGGCCGGGAGCUGAGGACGUAGAGCGCAAAGGAGGGUGUGGGGAAGAGAGGGGAAGCUCACGAGGGCCUAACCCAGCUACAUCCCAGCUGCCAACGUAUAAGUCCGGCGCAACCCGAAGGAACGACUCCAUGUUUUCGAGAUAAGUUUCACGCUCGGAAUAGCUAAUCGAUGCGGUAGAGGAUCUCCACCUAAUGCUGCUCUAUGACAGCAACAUUGCCUUCCAUUCUCACCUUUUGGCGGCCGCUUGUGCGCUAAAGGGGACCUCCUGAGCAUUGCGCCUCAGGGGCUCUUACUGGACCUCGGGCCGCUCACCUCCUGGCCUUGACCACGGCAUCGCGACCUGGCAUACCAGCGACGGCUGAAGCCUGCCUGGGGAUCAGGACCUGUCAGCGUAGAGCACCAAGUCGCCGCGAGCUUAGAAAGGGGGAACCAAGCCGGGACAGGACGAGCGUUUGCACCGCUUCAUAAUAAGGAUAACAUCAACAAGAUACAUCGCGGACCCUUUACAUGCCCCCAUGGGGUGUUUUCUCGAUUCCUCGUAGGGAAAAAAGGACGCGAAUCCUAAGGAGCCCAAACUACGCAUGCCUCCAUGGCCGACGCCAUCAUCAACAGUGGGCCACGGGAGGCCUGCGCCAACCCCAUCCAGAUCAGCUGCAGCGACAGCCUGAUGCAGCCGCCUUGCUCCGGGCACGGCGCAAGCUCGGGGGCACAUAGCUGUUGUCGCUCGUCUCAAGAGUCACGAAGAGCUCGGGAGUGUCACUGGACUCCCAAGCAUCGCCGCUGCUGCCGGAGGAGCCGUUUGGUUAGCGGAUGGCAGGCCUAGCCCCUGCGACGAUGAUGUCCCGGCUGCCUUCCCUGGGGCAGCACUCCAGGCGGCGGCCUUCUGUGUCGAAGACCUUGAAGAGCAUCAAGGAGGCGCCAUCGUAUUCAAAAUGAAUCACGAGGGCACCCCCUGUUCGGCAGACCCGAGCGACCUCGCCCCAGCCUCGGGUCAUGAAGACCUUGCCCGGAGCGACGACUUCAACCUCCGCUUGGGUCGCCAUAGUCGGCGUGCUGCAGCCAAAGCUCAAGAGGCCCCCUCGGCGGCAUCUCGAAGGCGAAGAAUGAAGGGAAGCGAAUCCACGUGCUUGGAGGCAUUGCAGCAUGAAGCACGGGCUCGCGAGGAGAGUCCGCGGCAUGGACUCCAGGAGCAAAAAAACGCGCCGCCAUGGCUCGUCGACCCCGCCUGCGGCGGGGCGGCGUCGCUCAUCGUCUCCUUCUCCACGGCCCUCGGCCCAGGCGUACAGGGGUAGUGGGAACCCAGGAGGUGGCCGCUCGCACCAAGGCCUCGCCGCCUCUAGCCUCACAACCUCGUCGCGGCGGCAUGGGACCGGCUGUUUCUUUGGUGGGAGCGGGUCAGGCCCCUCCCGGGGGGCCUUUCCUUUCUCUGUGGCUGAGAACCUGCGGAUCGGUGCCAUUGGCAUCGAGAAUGGAGGUGGAGCAAGGGAGAAGAAGCAGAUGGAGCAAGAAGAGAUGGACAAUGGGGGCUCUCGCCUCUCCGUACUUAUAGUCCCAGGGAGGCCAACCGUUGACCUCCACGAUCGCAGGUAAUGAUGACUCUUUUUUGCAUGCAGCAGGGACUCAUAAAAUCGGGCAGUUGCCGAGGCAGCGUGGGGAAGCGGAGACGCCCACGUCCAAUCAACCGCCACGCGGCGACCAAGGCCGCAGGCUGUGGGGGCCCGUGGCGCUCCGCACUUGCCCUCUGGCUUCGCUGCUAAGCCAAGUCCGAGUAUGCCUUGGGCCCAGGGGCUACUGUCGGCGUUCUGGAAAUGGGGGUCCCCAGACUUGCCUGCCUACGGCCUGCAGCGUGGCUCAGCAGUGGCCCAGUAUGGCCCGUCUUAAUCAGCAAACACUCAAGACCCUCGCGAGGGGCCAAGCCUCGCGGGGCAGACGAUGCAAGGCCUCCUCAGGGGCGGCCUCACCAGGCAGGCUCGCGAGGAGGCGGAGAGAUCAAGGCAAAAGGUACCUCGUGAGGUGCUCAUGACGCAAGCCAUGACGAUCAAGACCAGGAGGGCGCCAGCCCGCGCAGUGUCUUCGUUUCCUCUUUGGUGCAAAGGGGGCAAGCACAGGCGCGGAGUACCGAGGCAUCAGACAAAGGUUUCCAUAUAGGUGCAACGAGACCAAGACCAGCAGAGCGGCAGGAAGGAGGUCACCGUAGAGCCCAAGACGGCAUCAUCACCAGUUCCUUUGGUAGUCGAAGACCACCUUUUGUCAGGAUAGCUUGUACUAGCUAUCCCCUUUCAAAAUGGUCGUUGUUGGCUCCCUUCCCGCUCAAUAUUUGGGAAGAGGACCAGGGCCUCUAUAAAUAAGGUUAGCCACCACAGUAGAGGGGAUGAAAUCUGAUCCGAUCGGACCCAGACCUAGCUCGUCUACACACCACCACAAGAACACCUCUCGCGAGGCUAUUCUUUCUCUGUACUAUUCAUCAUCAGUCAAGAGGCAAUCCACCACACCACACACUGGAUUAGGGUAUUACACCACAAUGGUGGCCCGAACAAGUAUAAACCUUGUGUCUCUUGUGUUGUUCAUCGUGCUAGCUUAGAAUCGCUGGGAGGUUGUGGGCGUGUUUUGGUAGGGAGAAGAUCUUUGUGCGCACCCCAGAGUUCGAACCUUAAGGGUUUUGCCGAACCCGAUAUCCGACAACAACCUCAUUGCUGAGCAAUUAAAAAGGAAGUCUCUGGAAUAAUCUAGCAUGGUGGUCGCUGCUGCCUGCCGGCGCCGUCCAUCCCCAUGCCUCCGCCUAGUCCGACCGCCAGUCACCACCACGCUCCACUCCUCCUCACCUUAUCUCUCAUCUUUCAUUUUUCGAUGAAAUUCUUGAGAUACCAGUUUUCCGACAAAAUUCUUGAGAUAUCAUUAAUUUUUACACAUGGGAUUACUCCUGCAUGGGUCAAUCACAAUAGGAGUUUUGUAAAAAUAUGCAUAUGGAUGUUCCGUGCAAUGCACGAGCCUCUUGCUUGUAAUUAUAUAACGCAAAUCACGAGCAGGAAGUGACAUUUUUUUACACAACCACAUUAACAUGGCCACGUAAAUCACUAGCUAAAGUGUAAUACCAUUAUACUUAUAUCCCGAUGCAAAAGGUUGAGUACAUGUCCGAAGAGUAGAGUCGCACACACGCACUCUGUCUCUCAGAAUCUCUCUCACACACACACUAGUUACGUGCACCCACUUAAGCAGACACGUAUGUUACAAUUUGUGCACCCGCGGGUACACGUGAUGGUGCACAUUUAUUUAAGCCGGACGGUGAACCCAAAUAGUAGCUGCAAUCAUUCCGCACCCGCCGCCUCUUCUCUAGUCGCCGUCACCCGGUAGCCAUGGCCUGGUCGAAGGUAACGACAUAUGCCAUACUCCCACCGGAGCGGCGCUUUAAUCUGGAAAUUUUAGUGGUCAUGCAUGCAUCUUUUUGUGCUAGCACCCCUAUAUAAGGGUUGACCGGUCUCUUCCCGCUGACGUGCACGGGCGGUGGAAGAGGAAGGAGAAGGGAAGCGGGCUAUGGAGUAAUGUUUUUUUACCACAAUUUCUUAGGAAACUGAGUGCAAUAAUUGAGUAGUUUUGCAAACUACCAGUACUACACCUGGAACGGUUCAAAACCAAUACUCCCUUGUCGGUGCGCGCUUUCCGUGUGAAACGGUAAGCGUCACCCUAGAGCGUCAGUGCCGCAUUAAUGCCCGGCCAGGGCGGAGGCGACCUCUCACUGGCGCCAGCUUUGAAGCAGCGCGCCGCCCGAGAGAGCACUGCUUCCUGGUGCAUGCGACUACUCCGCGUCGAGGCUGGCAAUAGGCCCUGUUUGGAUCCAUGGGUUAGAGUUAGUUUGAGCUAUUUGGGGCUCAAAUAGCCCUAAAGUAUCCAAGCAUGAGGGUUAAUGUCGGUGUACUAAAGUAGGGGGUACCUUAGUACCCCGAACUUGUGCACGGGCAGUCGCAGCACCCCCGCGGCGAGGCUUGCCGGGCGCCCGGCAAGGCCCUCCGCCAUUCUUUAUUACUGCCAUUCAAGAACAAAGUACUAGCCAAGAACGCGAAGGCCCUGGCAAGAGGAGCUUGCCGGGAAGGCCAACCAGGGCACCACUAGAAGACUUGCCGCGGCGCCCCGCGCGCCCCGGCAAGGCCUGGCGGCCGGCAAGCUUGCCGGCACAACAAGAAAAGGGCCGCGGCAAGGCACUUGCCGCGGCAAGGCUGCCUCCCAGACUCCAGCGCACCCAGCGACGUGUGUAGGAUCGAAAGUAUGUCUAGAGGGGGGGUGAUUAGACUACUUGACAAUAUAAAAAUUCUGCCUUUUGACAAAAAACAGUUUUUGGCAGAUUCACAAUUAUGAUCAAGUCAAGCAUCACCCUACACAUGCAAUUCUAGAGUAUAGGCAGCGGAAAGUAAAUUGCACAUGUAGUAAAGAGAGGUGGAGAAGAGCAAACGCAAUUUUGGAGACGCGGUGAUUUUUCUCAUGGUUCCGAUAGGUGGUGCUAUCGUACUUCCACGUUGAUGGAGACUUCAACCCACGGAGGGUAACGGCUGCGAGAGUCCACGGAGGGCUCCACCCACGAAGGGUCCACGAAGAAGCAACCUUGUCUAUUCCAUCAUGGCCUACGCCCACGGAGGGCUAGCCUUACUCAGGGUAGAUCUUCACGAAGUAGGCGAUCUCCUUGCCCUUACAAACUUCUUGGUUCAACUCCACAUCUCGAUGACGGAGGCUCCCAAGCGACACCUAACCAAUCUAGGAGGCACCACCCUCCAAAAGGUAAUAGAUGUUGUAGAUGAUGAUGAACUCCUUGCUCUUGUGCUUCAAAUGAUAAUCUCCCCAACACUCAACUCUCCUCACUGAUUUGGCUGUGGUGGAAGAAAGGAUUGAGUGGAAAGCAACUUGGGAAGGCUAGAGCUCAAGCUUCAUAUGGUGGGACUGGAGCAACUUGAUCUCAACACAAGGGUAGGUAGUUCUCUUCUCAGAAAUGUAAGGUAGGAGUGGUAGUUCUUUCUGAUGGCUCUCCCCACGAAUGAAGAGGGGGUGGAGGGGUAUAAAUAGCCUCCACACAAAAUCCAACCGUUACACACAUUUGAGCAAUUUCGGUGGGACCGAAGUGGACAACUCAGUGAGACCGAUAGUUCAAAUAAUGUGAACGUUGGGAUUUUCGGUGGGACCGAAAAUACAAUCUCGGUUAGUCCGAUUCGUGCAAUGACAAGAGCAUGCCAGUUUCGGUGGGACCGACUUCAUCAUCUCGGUGACACCGAUUUGAUGACAGAAGGUUACAGAAGCUUGGCAACUCAUGUUUCGGUGAGACCGAGUUCAGAAUCGGAAAAUCCGAGUUUGCUAGGGUUUGGCUUAUGGCUGAGGUGGUUCAUCUCGGUGUGACUGAGUUUGGAAUAUCGGUGGGACCGAGAUUACUUAUGAGUGUAUAUGGCAGUGAAAGUUGCUGAUAGUUUAGGAGAUGUAUCACUAAGCACUUGAGCAACCAGAUCAUCAUCAUAACCUCAUCCCCUUUUAAUAGUAUUGGCUUUUCCUAUGGACUCAAUGUGAUCUUGGAUCACUAAACCAAAAAUGGAGUCUUGAGCUUUUGCCAAAGCUUGCCUUAGCAUUUUGGGGGUCCACUUCUUCAGUCCUUGCCAUACCCAUAUCACUGAACUCUUUGAAAUGAUUCUCAAGUAACUAUUAGUUCAAUGAUAUAUAUGUUGUUAUUAAUUACCAAAACCACCCGGGGAUUAGUUGCACUUUCAACGUGUCAUCGCAAGGCCAUCCCAAGGGCACGUGGCGAGGCGCUACGCAGCCAUGCGGAGCGAGGUGGCAAACGGACCUGACAGAGGCGCCAUCGUGGCAACCGGUGGCUCACCUAACGGUCGUUUCUUUACACUGUUGGGACGACCAGACGGGCAUUUAGUGCCCUUGUCCCCUGCCGUCAGAGUUAGGUAGGGGCACUUUUGGGCACUGUUGUACCAACCUGCGAUUUUACCUUUCUACCCCCUCUUCCUACGCUGCCACCUGUGGAUCCCCCCUUUAGAGUAUAAAAGGGAGGCCCAUGCGCACGUAGAAGAGGUUCGGUCCAUUCGACACCCACAGCACCACCAUACGCUCGCACGCUCGAGCAAGAUCAAAUAACAAACACAAAGCAGCAGUAGGGGUGUUAUCUCUCCGGAGAGCCCCGAAGCUGGGUAAAAGAUUGCCCGUCUCCCCGCGCGCGCUCGACCUCGAUCUGCUCUGCGCACGCCCUCCGCUCCCUUGCCGAACCAGAAGGGGUCCCCGUGCCCCAUAGGUGCUCGAGGCCACAGAGACACGCCCCGACAUCUUUGGCGCGCCAGGUAGGGGGGCGUCGAGGUCGUGAGCAUCUGAUCCGGUCUCCACGCGCGCUACAUCAGCGUCAUCGUCAACAUGCCACCGAAGAAGAAGCCUUCGGAGGUGGCCGCUCCGUCUACAUCAAUUCCACCACCACCGCCGGAGCAAGCAGGCGGUGAGGUGGACGCCGGCGGAGGAGCGGGUGCCGCCGGUGGGUCUCACGUCAUCACCAGAUCCAAGAACAAGGCCCCGCAAGCGUCGGUGACGGUGCAGACGCGCACCCUUCCCAGGAGGUGCAAGGUCAACAACGCCCCGGUGCUCCUAGCACCGUGCUCGCAUUGGAACAAGGCCAAGCUGGUGGGUCGCGGGACGCUCGAGGUCAGCAUGCACGCCCGCAUGCUGGCGCGAGCGAGAUACGGUCGCCCGGACGGGGUGUUGCUCCUCCCAAUCUGGUUGGGAGUCCGAGCACAUCUCGCUCCUCGCGCCGCUCGUCGCCAUCGCCACCCAAGACAGCAGAGGAAGCGCUGGCCCGAGCCCAGCUGCUUCUAGAUUACCCUCCGGCGCCGCACAAGAUCGACGACUAGAGGAUGACCAUUUACAGCCUCAUCGGCUUCGCCAACGGCGACAAACCCCGGCGACCGAGCGCGUCGAGGCCCCGGCAAGGCGCCCAGGCGCAAGCCGACGCCGACAAGACCGCUGGGGGUGCCACCUCUGUGCACUCCCAGCCCCGAAGGCCAAGAUCGCCAGCUCGCCGGACCAACACCGACGGCGACUCCACCGCGUCGUCGGACCCGCGAACUCGCCGCGAUCAACGCCACGUCCUCCAAGAACGGCAACACGAAGACGCUCGCACCCGCAUCGAGCGCCGGAGAGAAGCGCGACGUCAAUCUGACCAGUGCACUGGGCCCACUGUCGACGCGCACGCACCCGGAGAACCAGGCGACUUGCCGUACGCGGCAGGUUGCCCUGCGUUCACCCGCGAGUAGCGGCAAGUCCAGUGGCCCAAAACCAAGAACUUCAAGCCAGACGUGCCCGAGAAGUAUGAUGGCAGGAUACAUCCGUCGGAGUUCCUUAGCAUCUACACCAUCGCGGUGCAGGCUGCCGGAGGGCGCGACGAGAAGAUCCUCGCCAACUACUUCCCACUGGUACUCAAGCCCAACGUCAGAUCUUGGCUCAUGCACUUGCCGGACGGCUCCAUCUCUUCAUGGGCGGAGCUGUGUCAUCAGUUUGUCGGCGCCUUCACGGGUGGCCACAAGCCUCAUGGCCAGGAGAGUGACCUCCACUUGCUCAUCCAGAAGGAGGGGGAGCCCCUGCGCAAGUACAUACAAAGAUUCAGCCAGGUGCAGCGCAACAUCCCAGACGUCCACCCUGCCGCGGUUAUUAGCGCGUUUCAUCAGAACGUGCGUAAUCGCAGGAUGAGGGAGGAGAUGGCGAUGUGCAAGAUCAGAGAUGUCAGCGAGCUCUACGCUCUGGCCGACAAGUGUGCACGGGCUGAGGAGGGGAGGAAAAUCCCCGGAGAGGUUGCCGGAGCAGAAGGAUCUGACAGUGAGGAUGCCGCCCCGGCAAGGAAGAACCGGAGGCGGAACAAUAGGAAGAGAAAAGCUAAGGAUGUACUAGCUGUUGAGCAUUCCGGCAACGGAGGCGGCUCCGACAAGGCCAAAACCGACGACUCCGGCGAGGCUGUAGCAGCCGCUGACAAGCAGGACGGAUCCGGCAAGCGAUAUUGCAAGAUCCACCGCACCAAAGGCCAUGACCUCCAAACCUGCAAAAAAGUAGAGCAGUUGGCGGAGCUGCAAAAAGCUCAGUAUGAGCGCCGCGAUAAGGAGAGAGCCCAGGGAGGUGGCGGAGGAUCCGGCAAGAAGCUUCCCGCCCAGGGAGGACACCGCGGCAAGGCCAAAACGCGGCAAGGAGACAGGCCUCCCCGCGGCCGCGACAAGGACGAAGAUGAAGAUGAGGAUGAUGUAGGAUCGAAAGUAUGUCUAGAGGGGGGGGUGAUUAGACUACUUGACAAUAUAAAAAUUCAGCCUUUUGACAAAGACAAGUUUUUGGCAGAUUCACAAAUAUGAUCAAGUCAAGUAUCACCCUACACAUGCAAUUCUAGAGUAUAGGCAGCGGCAAGUAAAUUGCACAUGUAGUAAAGAGAGGUGGAGAAGAGCAAACGCAAUUUUGGAGACACGGUGAUUUUUCUCGUGGUUCCGAUAGGUGGUGCUAUCAUACUUCCACGUUGAUGGAGACUUCAACCCACGGAGGGUAACGGCUGCGAGAGUCCACGGAGGGCUCCACCCACGAAGGGUCCACGAAGAAGCAACCUUGUCUAUGCCAUCAUGGCCUACGCCCACGGAGGACUAGCCUUACUCGGGGUAGAUCUUCACGAAGUAGGCGAUCUCCUUGCCCUUACAAACUUCUUGGUUCAACUCCACAUCUCGACGGAGGCUCCCAAGCGACACCUAACCAAUCUAGGAGGCGCCACCCUCCAAAAGGUAAUAGAUGGUGUUGAUGAUGAUGAACUCCUUGCUCUUGUGCUUCAAAUGAUAAUCUCCCCAACACUCAACUCUCCUCACUGAUUUGGCUGUGGUGGAAGAAGGAUUUGAGUGGAAAGCAACUUGGGAAGGCUAGAGAUCAAGCUUCAUAUGAUGGGAGUGGAGCAACUUGAUCUCAACACAAGGGUAGGUAGUUCUCUUCUCAGAAAUGUAAGGUAGGAGUGGUAGUUCUUUCUGAUGGCUCUCUCCACGAAUGAAGAGGGGGUGGAGGGGUAUUUAUAGCCUCCACACAAAAUCCAACCGUUACACACAUUUGACCAAUCUCGGUGGGACCGAAGUUGACAACUCGGUGAGACCGAAAGUUCAAAUAAUGUGAACGUUGGGAUUUUCGGUGGGACCGAAACUACAAUCUCGGUUUGUCCGAUCCAUGCAAAGACAAGAGCUUGCCAAUCCCGGUGGGACCGACUUCAUCAUCUCGGUGACACCGAUUUGAUGACAGAAGGUUACAGAAGCUUGGCAACUCAAGUUUCGGUGAGACCGAGUUCAGAAUCGGAAAAUCCGAGUUUUCUAGGGUUUGGCUUUGUGGCUGAGGUGGUUCAUCUCGGUGUGACUGGGUUUGGAAAAUCGGUGGGACCGAGAUUACUUAUGAGUGUAUAUGGCAGUGAAAGUUGCUGAUAGUUUAGGAGAUGUAUCACUAAGCACUUUGAGCAACCAGAUCAUCAUCAUAACCUCAUCCCCUUUUAAUAGUAUUGGCUUUCCUAUGGACUCAAUGUGAUCUUGGAUCACUAAACCAAAAAUGGAGUCUUGAGCUUUUGCCAAUGCUUGCCUUAGCAUUUUGAGGGGUCCACUUCUUCAGUCCUUGCCAUACCCAUAUCACUGAACUUUCUGAAAUGAUUCUCAAGUAACUAUUAGUUCAAUGAUAUAUAUGUUGUUAUUAAUUACCAAAACCACCCGGGGAUUAGUUGCACUUUCAAUCUCCCCCUUUUUGGUAAUUGAUGACAACAUAUAGAUCAAAGCUUCGACAAAGGAUAUAAUCAAUG